This is a non-coding RNA of Xyrichtys novacula (pearly razorfish), 65150 nucleotides long. The record is from the annotation of a GenBank genome assembly. Lineage: Eukaryota; Metazoa; Chordata; Actinopteri; Labriformes; Labridae.
CAAUGUCCAGCCAUCAACACAUUUGUGAAGGAAUUUUUACUCCCUAAAAGAGCGCCCCCCCAUGGCAGGAGAAAAAAGUCCAUUUUUUCUUGUCCCCUAAGGUGAAAAUACACAUUGUUGACUGUCACGCCUGUACGCUUUGGCAAAAUGACACAAAAAUUGACAAUCAUGUGUAUCUCAAUUAGAUCUACGAAAAAGUCAAGAGCGCGUAUCUGUAUAAUGUACGGUAAAAGGGCUAUUUUGCAUUUUUUGCCGAUUCGCACAUAUUGGAAUUUCGCUAACUCCUCCUAAGGCUUUCGUCCCACUGACACCAAAUUUGCUCAGGCCAAUCUACACUCCAUGGCCAUUCAAAGUUGUAAAAAUCAUGACGCGGCACCCCACGGUUUACGUUUUAGGGGGCGCCAAAGAUGACCCAAAUAUACAUUACAGUAGACAAAGUAGUUUUGCCCACUGAGUGGCGCCAAAGGGACUUGUCUGUGGAGUCUGUGAGUCACUAUUGGCCGUUUUUGACUACUUUAGAUUUUACCUUUAUAUUUCCUCUUACAAAAUUUUUACCUUGCCUUGCCUGGUAUCAUUGUUUUCAGCACAACCUCACCUGUGUCAAUUUACAGUUAUUUUAUCAUUUUGACAUACUAUAUUUACACAUUGGACCCAAAUUCACACACAAAACAUAAAAUCCGAGUGGAAAAAAGUAACGUUUUUACUGUGAAAACCACAAAUAUGUGUGAUGAACUGUUUUUAAAACUUAAACUUCAAAUAAAAAUUGUAAACUUCAAAACAUAUGCACAUUUUUAACAAAGAACAUAGUAAUUUACCUCUAUUUACAUCAAAAUGCAGGCAAUGGCCCAGGUGUUCUUUGUAAAAUUAUUUACAAAACACUGUAUAGUCUCACAAAUGUCACUUUUUAUUUAUGCCACUACAAAAAAACAUGAUGUAAAUGAUGCAUGAUGUAAAACAUGAUGUAAAAAACUUGUGUAGAUCCUCCUCUAUGUCAGUCCAUGUGUAAUUUUUCCAUAAUUCUUUGUUUUUUGCAGCAUUUUUGUUAGUGUAACUGCAGAUUGUGCUGACAGUGUCUAUGGCAAAAAAAAAAAAAAAACUGAAAAUGCCUCAACAUGAACCCCUGGUGGUCUCUGAGGGUGAAACCUGCUAACUGCUGCAGCUCUGUCAGCUUCAGUCUCCCAUGCAGAGCUCGGAGCGCAUGUGUGGCUCUGCACCCUUAGCAGCGUUGCUAACUCCUCAGUAAGGAAAGCCUGCUUCAUGUCAGAGUCUCUAAACUCCAGAAGAAGUCGAUAAAAGUCACUUUCUUUCUAAAAAAACGUCGUUAGGGGGUCUGAAAAGUCAUUGAAUCUAACAACAAAGUCGCUAGGUUUGCAACUACGUGUCCCAGACUGCAUCCCUGCUGAGAGUCCCUCCCUCCCUUCUCAUAUUGCAGGAAGAACGUAAGCGCCCGCCCCUUGUCAAUCAGUCACCAUAUAAUUUUGGAUUGGUUGUUGUGGUGAAGUUUUCCACCAAUAGGAGAGAUGUUGUGGUGUGUUUUUUUUUUCCUUUGGCAAGCCUUUUCCGCCUGUAAGACCUGUCGCUAAUGUCUGCAUGCUAUGUUUUCCUGUCUCAUACAGCGCGAUCGAGCGCCGAACGUGAUCAAAAUAAGCAGAAAACAAGUAUCGCGGACAUAAUUUAUCAUAACUCUGGUUUUAUUUGGCCUAUCAACACAAUUUAAAAACUGGUAUAUAGGUUGAGGUCCUCACUUUUGAGAUAAGUUGAAACGGAGAGUCAACGAGGCUCCGUCUUGCAGCUACAUCCGGUUAAAUAUGUCAUGUGACUUGAACACACACACACACACACACACAGACACACACACACACGCACACACACACACUCAGAGUCUGGUUUUUAGCACCUGCAAAAACAUGCUAUUUACAUAUUUGACAAGAAUGCAGAGGCUCCUUUUGCCCCUGAAAAAAAUCAAAUUUCAAACACAACUUGACUGGUCAUUUCUCCAAAAGACAACCAUGAAGCUCCAUCCAAACCUGAAGCAGGCAGUUGGUGCAUGUGUACAGUAACCUGAGGGGAGUGAGGUGACUGCUUCUGAGGAGAACAUGAGCAGUGAAGAUUCACCUUAGAGCUAGAACAGAGACGUGCACAUGAUUAUACAGGGGCAGGGGCUCAAGUUUUUUCCAGUUGUUUAUACAAUAUGGAAAUUAAUGUGAAAUUAAAAAACAAAGUAUUAAUAGAAAGGUAAUGACUGUCCUGAGUAGGUGACAGUGAUAUCCAAUAGGCUAGGCACUCACGAGGCUGGCUGUGGCAAGUGUAAGUGAAAGCAACACGCACUGGCAGGAAGAACAGCAAACGCCGAUGAAGGAAAAGGGUCUUUGCAGUGAUGGGCGUUACCAGAGAGGGCGAUGGCCAGAGGACACAAAUGGGACGGGGAGGCAGCGCGUUGGGGGGGGGACGCGACACAGCUCGGGCCCGCCAGUGCCCCAACGGGGUCCUAGUUAGGGCCCGAGCGUAGCUGCUAAGCAGCUGCGAGAGCCCUAUUAUUCCCCAAGGGGUUUUUCUUUGUUUCUUUUUUCUUUUUCCUCCCCUUUGAACUGGAAAAUGGCCCACUUCCCACUGGCGAAAACUCAUGAAAUUUGGCAGGACGACCGGGCCUGGUGAAAAAUUUGAUAUUCCGAAGUCGCCCAAACAAGAAAAUGCAAAAUGGCUCCAUAGCGCCCCCUAAGGUGAAAAAUUCACCUGACGCCUGUACGCUUUGUCAAAAUGACACAAAAAUUGACACACACAUGUAUCUCAAUAAGAUCUACAAAAAAGUCAGUGCGGGCGUAUCUGUCAAAUGUACUGUUAGAGGGUUAUUGCGCAUUUUUUGCCGAUCCGCACACAUUGGAAUUUCGCUAACUCCUCCGAAGGCUUUCGUUCCACCGGCACCACAUUUGCUCAGGCCAAUCUACACCCCAUGGCCAUUAAAAGUUAUUCAAAUCAUGACGCUGCACCCCACGGUUUAGGUUCUAGGGGGCGCCAAAGAUAACACUAAAAUCCACAUAUUUCAAAGUCUUAUAACUUUUUAUUUUUGUCCUCACUGGCCUCCAAGUUUUCUAGGAUGAUGCAAUGUCCAGCCAUCAACACAUUUGUGAAGGAAUUUUUACUCCCCAAAAGAGCGCCCCCCCAUGGCAGGAGAAAAAAGUCCAUUUUUUCUUGUCCCCUAAGGUGAAAAUACACAUUGUUGAGUGUCACGCCUGUACGCUUUGUCAAAAUGACACAAAAAUUGACACACACAUGUAUCUCAAUAAGAUCUACAAAAAAGUCAAUGGGCGCGUAUAUGUCAAAUGUACGGUUAAAGGGUUAUUCCGCAUUUUUUGCCGAUUCGCACACAUUGGAAUUUCGCUAACUCCUCCGAAGGCUUUCGUUCCACCGGCACCACAUUUGCUCAGGCCAAAUUACACCCCAUGGCCAUUAAAAGUUAUUCAAAUCAUGACGCUGCACCCCACGGUUUACGUUCUAGGGGGCGCCAAAGAUAACCCAAAAAUCCACAUUUUUAAAAGUCUUAUAACUUUUUAUUUUUGUCCUCACUGGCCUCCAAGUUUUCUAGGAUGAUGCAAUGUCCAGCCAUCAACACAUUGGUGAAGGAAUUUUUACUCCCUAAAAGAGCGCCCCCCCAUGGCAGGAGAAAAAAGUCCAUUUUUUCUUGUCCCCUAAGGUGAAAAUACACAUUGUUGACUGUCACGCCUGUACGCUUUGGCAAAAUGACACAAAAAUUGACAAUCAUGUGUAUCUCAAUUAGAUCUACGAAAAAGUCAAAGAGCGCGUAUCUGUAUAAGGUACGGUAAAAGGGCUAUUUUGCAUUUUUUGCCGAUUCGCACACAUUGGAAUUUCGCUAACUCCUCCUAAGGCUUUCGUCCCACUGACACCAAAUUUGCUCAGGCCAAUCUACACUCCAUGGCCAUUCAAAGUUGUAAAAAUCAUGACGCUGCACCCCACGGUUUACGUUUUAGGGGGCGCCAAAGAUGACCCAAAUAUACAUUACAGUAGACAAAGUAGUUUUGCCCACUGAGUGGCGCAAAAGGGACUUGUCUGUGGAGUCUGUGAGUCACUAUUGGCCGUUUUUGACUACUUUAGAUUUUACCUUUAUAUUUCCUCUUACAAAAUUUUUACCUUGCCUUGCCUGGUAUCAUUUUUUUCAGCACAACCUCACCUGUGUCAAUUUACAGUUAUUUUAUCAUUUUGACAUACUAUAUUUACACAUUGGACCCAAAUUCACACACAAAACAUAAAAUCCGAGUGGAAAAAAGUAACGUUUUUACUGUGAAAACCACAAAUAUGUGUGAUGAACUGUUUUUAAAACUUAAACUUCAAAUAAAAAUUGUAAACUUCAAAACAUAUGCAAAUUUUUAACAAAGAACAUAGUAAUUUACCUCUAUUUACAUCAAAAUGCAGGCAAUGGCCCAGGUGUUCUUUGUAAAAUUAUUUACAAAACACUGUAUAGUCUCACAAAUGUCACUUUUUAUUUAUGCCACUACAAAAAAACAUGAUGUAAAUGAUGCAUGAUGUAAAACAUGAUGUAAAAAACUUGUGUAGAUCCUCCUCUAUGUUAGUCCAUGUGUAAUUUUUCCAUAAUUCUUUGUUUUUUGCAGCAUUUUUGUUAGUGUAACUGCAGAUUGUGCUGACAGUGUCUAUGGCAAAAAAAAAACAAAAAAAACUGAAAAUGCCUCAACAUGAACCCCUGGUGGUCUCUGAGGGUGAAACCUGCUAACUGCUGCAGCUCUGUCAGCUUCAGUCUCCCAUGCAGAGCUCGAAGCGCAUGUGUGGCUCUGCACCCUUAGCAGCGUUGCUAACUCCUCAGUAAGGAAAGCCUGCUUCAUGUCAGAGUCUCUAAACUCCAGAAGAAGUCGACAAAAGUCACUUUCUUUCUAAAAAAAAAAGUCGUUAGGGGGUCUGAAAAGUCAUUGAAUCUAACAACAAAGUCGCUAGGUUUGCAACUACGUGUCCCAGACUGCAUCCCUGCUGAGAGUCCCUCCCUCCCUUCUCAUAUUGCAGGAAGAACGUAAGCGCCCGCCCCUUGUCAAUCAGUCACCAUAUAAUUUUGGAUUGGUUGUUGUGGUGAAGUUUUCCACCAAUAGGAGAGAUGUUGUGGUGUGUUUUUUUUUUCCUUUGGCAAGCCUUUUCCGCCUGUAAGAGCUGUCGCUAAUGUCUGCAUGCUAUGUUUUCCUGUCUCAUACAGCGCGAUCGAGCGCCGAACGUGAUCAAAAUAAGCAGAAAACAAGUAUCGCGGACAUAAUUUAUCAUAACUCUGGUUUUAUUUGGCCUAUCAACACAAUUUAAAAACUGGUAUAUAGGUUGAGGUCCUCACUUUUGAGAUAAGUUGAAACGGAGAGUCAACGAGGCUCCGUCUUGCAGCUACAUCCGGUUAAAUAUGUCAUGUGACUUGAACGCACACAUAGACACACACACACGCACACACACACACACACACACACACACACACACACACACACACACACACACACACACUCAGAGUCUGGUUUUUAGCACCUGCAAAAACAUGCUAUUUACAUAUUUGACAAGAAUGCAGAGGCUCCUUUUGCCCCUGAAAAAAAUCAAAUUUCAAACACAACUUGACUGGUCAUUUCUCCAAAAGACAACCAUGAAGCUCCAUCCAAACCUGAAGCAGGCAGUUGGUGCAUGUGUACAGUAACCUGAGGGGAGUGAGGUGACUGCUUCUGAGGAGAACAUGAGCAGUGAAGAUUCACCUUAGAGCUAGAACAGAGACCUGCACAUGAUUAUACAGGGGCAGGGGCUCAAGUUUUUUCCAGUCGUUUAUACAAUAUGGAAAUUAAUGUGAAAUUAAAAAACAAAGUAUUAAUAGAAAGGUAAUGACUGUCCUGUGUAGGUGACAGUGAUAUCCAAUAGGCUAGGCACUCACGAGGCUGGCUGUGGCAAGUGUAAGUGAAAGCAACACGCACUGGCAGGAAGAACAGCAAACGCCGAUGAAGGAAAAGGGUCUUUGCAGUGAUGGGCGUUACCAGAGAGGGCGAUGGCCAGAGGACACAAAUGGGACGGGGAGGCAGCGCGUUGGGGGGGGGGACGCGACACAGCUCGGGCCCGCCAGUGCCCCAACGGGGUCCUAGUUAUUAUUUUUCCUCCCCUUUGAACUGGAAAAUGGCCCACUUCCCACUGGUGAAAACUCAUGAAAUUUGGCAGGACGACCGGGCCUGGUGAAAAAUUUGAUAUUCCGAAGUCGCCCAAACAAGAAAAUGCAAAAUGGCUCCAUAGCGCCCCCUAAGGUGAAAAUUCACACUAUUGACUGUCACGCCGGUACGCUUUGUCAAAAUGACACAAAAAUUGACACACACAUGUAUCUCAAUAAGAUCUACAAAAAAGUCAGUGCGGGCGUAUCUGUCAAAUGUACGGUUAAAGGGUUAUUUCGCAUUUUUUGCCGAUCCGCACACAUUGGAAUUUCGCUAACUCCUCCGAAGGCUUUCGUUCCACCGGCACCACAUUUGCUCAGGCCAAUCUACACCCCAUGGCCAUUAAAAGUUAUUCAAAUCAUGACGCUGCACCCCACGGUUUAGGUUCUAGGGGGCGCCAAAGAUAACCCUAAGAUCCACAUAUUUAAAAGUCUUAUAACUUUUUAUUUUUGCCCUCACUGGCCUCCAAGUUUUCUAGGAUGAUGCAAUGUCCAGCCAUCAACACAUUUGUGAAGGAAUUUUUACUCCCCAAAAGAGCGCCCCCCCAUGGCAGGAGAAAAAAGUCCAUUUUUUCUUGUCCCCUAAGGUGAAAAUACACAUUGUUGAGUGUAACACCUGUACGCUUUGGCAAAAUGACACAAAAAUUGACACACACAUGUAUCUCAAUAAGAUCUACGAAAAAGUCAAUGCGCGCGUAUCUGUCAAAUGUACGGUUAAAGGGUUAUUCCGCAUUUUUUGCCGAUCCGCACACAUUGGAAUUUCGCUAACUCCUCCGAAGGCUUUCGUUCCACCGGCACCACAUUUGCUCAGGCCAAUCUACACCCCAUGGCCAUUAAAAGUUAUUCAAAUCAUGACGCUGCACCCCACGGUUUAGGUUCUAGGGGGAGCCAAAGAUAACCGUAAAAUCCACAUAUUUAAAAGUCUUAUAACUUUUUAUUUUUGUCCCCACUGGCCUACAAGUUUUCUAGGAUGAUGCAAUGUCCAGCCAUCAACACAUUUGUGAAGGAAUUUUUACUCGGCAAAAGAGCGCCCCCCAUGGCAGGAGAAAAAAGUCAAUUUUUUCUUGUCCACUAAGGUGAAAAUACACAUUGUUGAGUGCUACGCCUGUAUGUUUUGUCGUAUUGACACAAAAUUUUACAUACACGUGUAUUUACAUAAGAUCUUCGAAAAAGUCAAUGGCCACGUAUCUGUAAAAUGUACGGUUAAAGGGUUAUUUGGCAUUUUUUGCAGAUUCGCACACAUUGGAAUUUCGCUAAUUCCUCCGAAGGCUUUCGUUCCACCGGCACCACAUUUGCUCAGGCCAAUCUACACCCCAUGGCCAUUAAAAGUUAUUCAAAUCAUGACGCUGCACCCCACGGUUUAGGUUCUAGGGGGCGCCAAAUAUAACCCUAAAAUCCACAUAUUUAAAAGUCUUAUAACUUUUUAUUUUUGUCCUCACUGGCCUCCAUGUUUUCUAGGAUGAUGCAAUGUCCAGCCAUCAACACAUUUGUGAAGGAGUUUUUUCUCUUUAAAAGAGCGCCCCCCCAUGGCAGGAGAAUAAAGUCAAGUUUUUCCUGUUCAUCAUUCAAUGGCUCAAACGCACUGCUCUCUCGGCAAAAGCGAAAGGAGGAGCAACUUGCCAUUUGGAUAUAUCUUAGCUGUGUUUGUGCCCUCACUCAUGGUCCAGACUUUUUUCAAAUAGGACAUGGAGUUUUUCUGCAGCGAGCGUUUUGGUAGAAACUGCGCCUCCCGUUCAUUAUAAUGGUAAAUGACCACAAACAAGUGCGCACACCAUCUUUGGACCUUGAGUGUGACGCGAUCGGGAGGGGGAGGCGGUCGCGCUGGGGGCGGCGUGACACGGCUCGGGCCCGCCAGUGCCCCAACGGGGCCCUAGUUUCUUCUUCUUCUUCUUUAGGGCCCGAGCGUAGCUGCUAAGCAGCUGCGAGAGCCCUCUUGUUCCUGUAGUUUCCUUCUUUUGUUAUUAUUAGGGCCCGAGCGUAGCUGCUAAGCAGCUGCGAGAGCCCUAUUAUUCCCCAAGUGGUUUUUCUUUGUUUCUUUCUUUCUUUCUUUCUUUCUUUCUUUCUUCUUUUUCCUCCCCUUUGAACUGGAAAAUGGCCCACUUCCCACUGGCGAAAACUCAUGAAAUUUGGCAGGACGACCGGGCCUGGUGAAAAAUUCGAUAUUCUGAAGUCGCCCAAACAAGAAAAUGCAAAAUGGCUCCAUAGCGCCCCCUAAGGUGGAAAUUCACACUAUUGACUGUCACGCCUGUACGCUUUGUCAUAUUGACACAAAAAUUGACACACAUAUGUAUCUCAAUAAGAUCUACAAAAAAGUCAGUGCGGCCAUAUCUGUCAAAAUUACGGUUAAAGGGUUAUUUCGCAUUUUUUGCCGAUCCGCACACAUUGGAAUUUCGCUAACUCCUCCGAAGGCUUUCGUUCCACCGGCACCACAUUUUCUCAGGCCAAUCUACACCCCGUGGCCAUUAAAAGUUAUCAAAAUCAUGACGCUGCACCCCAAGGUUUAGGUUCUAGGGGGCGCCAAAGAUAACACUAAAAUCCACAUAUUUAAAAGUCUUAUAACUUUUUAUUUUUGUCCUCACUGGCCUCCAAGUUUUCUAGGAUGAUGCAAUGUCCAGCCAUCAACACAUUUGUGAAGGAAUUUUUACUCCCCAAAAGAGCGCCCCCCCAUGGCAGGAGAAAAAAGUCCAUUUUUUCUUGUCCCCUAAGGUGAAAAUACACAUUGUUGAGUGUCACGCCUAUACGCUUUGUCAAAAUGACACCAAAAUUGACACACACAUGUAACUCAAUAAGAUCUACGAAAAAGUCAAUGCGUGCGUAUCUGUCAAAUGUACGGUUAAAGGGUUAUUCCGCAUUUUUUGCCGAUCCGCACACAUUGGAAUGUGGCUAACUCCUCCUAAGGCUUUCGUUCCACCGGCACCACAUUUGCUCAGGCCAAUCUACACCCCAUGGCCAUUAAAAGUCAUUCAAAUCAUGACGCUGCACCCCACGGUUUAGGUUCUAGGGGGCGCCAAAGAUAACCCUAAAAUCCACAUAUUUAAAAGUCUUAUAACUUUUUAUUUUUGCCCUCACUGGCCUCCAAGUUUUCUAGGAUGAUGCAAUGUCCAGCCAUCAACACAUUUGUGAAGGAAUUUUUACUCCCCAAAAGAGCGCCCCCCCAUGGCAGGAGAAAAAAGUCCAUUUUUUCUUGUCCCCUAAGGUGAAAAUACAUAUUGUUGAGAUUCACGCCUAUACGCUUUGUCAUAUUGACACAAAAUUUGACAAUCACGUGCCUUGCCUGGUAUCAUUUCUUUCAGCACAACCUCACCUGUGCGAAUUUACAGUUAUUUUAUCAUGUUGACAUACUGAAUUUACACAAUGGACCCAAAUUCACACACAAAACAUAAAAUCCGAGUGGAAAAAAGUAACAUUUUUACUGUGAAAACCACAAAUAUGUGUGAUGAACUGUUUUUAAAACUUAAACUUCAAAUAAAAAUUGUAAACUUCAAAACAUAUGCAAAUUUUUAACAAAGAACAUAGUGAUUUACCUCUAUUUACAUCAAAAUGCAGGCAAUGGCCCAGGUGUUCUUUGUAAAAUUAUUUACAAAACACUGUAUAGUCUCACAAAUGUCACUUUUUAUUUAUGCCACUACAAAAAAAACAUGAUGUAAAUGAUGCAUGAUGUAAAACAUGAUGUAAAAAACUUGUGUAGAUCCUCCUCUAUGUCAGUCCAUGUGUAAUUUUUCCAUAAUUCUUUGUUUUUUGCAGCAUUUUUGUUAGUGUAACUGCAGAUUGUGCUGACAGUGUCUAUGGCACAAAAAAAAAAAAAAUUAAAAUGCCUCAACAUGAACCCCUGGUGGUCUCUGAGGGUGAAACCUGCUAACUGCUGCAGCUCUGUCAGCUUCAGUCUCCCAUGCAGAGCUCUGAGCGCAUGUGUGGCUCUGCACCCUUAGCAGCGUUGCUAACUCCUCAGUAAGGAAAGCCUGCUUCAUGUCAGAGUCUCUAAACUCCAGAAGAAGUCGAUAAAAGUCCCUUUCUUUCUAAAAAAAAGUCGUUAGGGGGUCUGAAAAGUCAUUGAAUCUAACAACAAAGUCGCUAGGUUUGCAACUACGUGUCCCAGACUGCAUCCCUGCUGAGAGUCCCUCCCUCCCUUCUCAUGUUGCAGGAAGAACGUAAGCGCCCGCCCCUUGUCAUUCAGUCACCAUAUAAUUUUGGAUUGGUUGUUGUGGUGAAGUUUUCCACCAAUAGGAGAGAUGUUGUGGUGUGUUUUUUUUUUCUUUUGGCAAGCCUUUUCCGCCUGUAAGACCUGUCGCUAAUGUCUGCAUGCUAUGUUUUCCUGUCUCAUACAGCGCGAUCGAGCGCCGAACGUGAUCAAAAUAAGCAGAAAAAAAGUAUCGCGGACAUAAUUUAUCAUAACUUUGGUUUUAUUUGGCCUAUCAACACAAUUUAAAAACUGGUAUAUAGGUUGAGGUCCUCACUUUUGAGAUAAGUUGAAACGGAGAGUCAACGAGGCUCCGUCUUGCAGCUACAUCCGGUUAAAUAUGUCAUGUGACUUGAACGCACACACAGACACACACACACGCACACACACACACACACACACACACACACACACACACACACACACACACACACUCAGAGUCUGGUUUUUAGCACCUGCAAAAACAUGCUAUUUACAUAUUUGACAAGAAUGCAGAGGCUCCUUUUGCCCCUGAAAAAAAUCAAAUUUCAAACACAACUUGACUGGUCAUUUCUCCAAAAGACAACCAUGAAGCUCCAUCCAAACCUGAAGCAGGCAGUUGGUGCAUGUGUACAAUAACCUGAGGGGAGUGAGGUGAGUGCUUCUGAGGAGAACAUGAGCAGUGAAGAUUCACCUUGGUGCUAGAACAGAGACAUGCACAUGAUUAUACAGGGGCAGGGGCUCAAGUUUUUUCCAGUCGUUUAUACAAUAUGGAAAUUAAUGUGAAAUUAAAACACAAAGUAUUAAUAGAAAGGUAAUGACUGUCCUGUGUAGGUGACAGUGAUAUCCAAUAGGCUAGGCACUCACGAGGCUGGCUGUGGCAAGUGUAAGUGAAAGCAACACGCACUGGCAGGAAGAACAGCAAACGCCGAUGAAGGAAAAGGGUCUUUGCAGUGAUGGGCGUUACCAGAGAGGGCGAUGGCCAGAGGACACAAAUGGGACGGGGAGGCAGCACGUUGGGGGGGGGGGGGGGGGGGGGGGGGAUGCGACACGGCUCGGGCCCGCCAGUGCCCCAACGGGGUCCUAGUUCUUUCUUUCUUCUUUUUCCUCCCCUUUGAACUGGAAAAUGGCCCACUUCCCACUGGCGAAAACUCAUGAAAUUUGGCAGGAUGACCGGGCCUGGUGAAAAAUUUGAUAUUCCGAAGUCGCCCAAACAAGAAAAUGCAAAAUGGCUCCAUAGCGCCCCCUAAGGUGAAAAUUCACACUAUUGACUGUCACGCCUUUACGCUUUGUCAAAAUGACACAAAAAUUGACACACAUAUGUAUCUCAAUAAGAUCUACAAAAAAGUCAGUGCGGGCAUAUCUGUCAAAUGUACGGUUAAAGGGUUAUUUCACAUUUUUUGCCGAUCCGCACACAUUGGAAUUUCGCUAACUCCUACGAAGGCUUUCUUUCCACCGGCACCACAUUUGCUCAGGCCAAUCUACACCCCAUGGCCAUUAAAAGUUAUUCAAAUCAUGACGCUGCACCCCACGGUUUAGGUUCUAGGGGGCGCCAAAGAUAACCCAAAAAUCCACAUAUUUAAAAGUCUUAUAACUUUUUAUUUUUUUCCUCACUGGCCUCCAAGUUUUCUAGGAUGAUGCAAUGUCCAGCCAUCAACACAUUUGUGAAGGAAUUUUUACUCCCCAAAAGAGCGCCCCCCCAUGGCCGGAGAAAAAAGUCCAUUUUUUCUUGUCCCCUAAGGUUGAAAAUACACAUUGUUGAGUGUCACGCCUGUACGCUUUGUCAUAUUGACACAAAAUUUGACACACACAUGUAUCUCAAUAAGAUCUACGAAAAAGUCAAUGCGGGCGUAUCUGUCAAAUGUACGGUUAAAGGGUUAUUCCGCAUUUUUUGCUGAUCCGCACACAUUGGAAUUUCGCUAACUCCUCCUAAGGCUGGCGUUCCACCGGCACCACAUUUGCUCAGGCCAAUCUACACCCCAUGGCCAUUAAAAGUUAUUCAAAUCAUGACGCUGCACCCCACGGUUUAGGUUCUAGGGGGCGCCAAAGAUAACCCUAAAAUCCACAUAUUUCAAAGUCUUAUAACUUUUUAUUUUUGUCCUCACUGCCCUCCAAGUUUUCUAGGAUGAUGCAAUGUCCAGCCAUCAACACAUUUGUGAAGGAAUUUUUACUCCCCAAAAGAGCGCCCCCCCAUGGAAGGAGAAAAAAGUCAAUUUUUUCUUGUCCCGUAAGGUGAAAAUUCACAUUGUUAAGUGUGACACCUGUACGCUUUGUCAUAUUGACACAAAAUUUGACAAUCACGUGUAUCUUAAUAAGAUCUACGAAAAAGUCAAUGCGCGCGUAUCUGUCAAAUGUACGGUUAGAGGGCUAUUUUGCAUUUUUUGCCGAUUCGCACACAUUGGAAUGUGGCUAUCUCCUCCUAAGGCUUUCGUCCCACUGAAACCAAAUUUGCUCAGGCCAAUCUACACCCCAUGGCCAUUAAAAGUUAUUCAAAUCAUGAUGCUGCACCCCACGGUUUACGUUCUAGGGGGCGCCAAAGAUGACCAAAAAAUCCACAUUCUUAAAAGAAUCCACAUUCUCCCCCCAUGGCAGGAGAAAAAGUCAAGUUUUUCCUGCCCAUCGCUCAAUGGCUCAAUCGCAUCGCUCUCCAGGCAACACCGUAACGAGGAGCAACCUGCCAUUUGGAUAUAUCCCAGCUGUGUUUGUGCCCUCACUCAUGGUCCAGACUUUUUUCAAAUAGGACAUGAAGUUUGUCUGCAGCGAGUGUUUUGGUAGAAACUGCGCCUCCCAUUCAUUAUAAUGGGAAAUGACCACAGACAAGUGCGCACACCAUCUUUGGUCCUUGAGUGUGACGCGAUCGGGAGGGAGAGGCGGUCACCCUGGGGGCGGCACGAUGCGGCUCGGGCCCGACAGUGCCCCACCGGGGCCCUAGUUAUUAUUAUUUUUCCUCCCCUUUGAACUGGAAAAUGGCCCACUUCCCACUGGUGAAAACUCAUGAAAUUUGGCAGGACGACCGGGCCUGGUGAAAAAUUUGAUAUUCCGAAGUCGCCCAAACAAGAAAAUGCAAAAUGGCUCCAUAGCGCCCCCUAAGGUGAAAAUUCACACUAUUGACUGUCACGCCGGUACGCUUUGUCAAAAUGACACAAAAAUUGACACACACAUGUAUCUCAAUAAGAUCUACAAAAAAGUCAGUGCGGGCGUAUCUGUCAAAUGUACGGUUAAAGGGUUAUUUCGCAUUUUUUGCCGAUCCGCACACAUUGGAAUUUCGCUAACUCCUCCGAAGGCUUUCGUUCCACCGGCACCACAUUUGCUCAGGCCAAUCUACACCCCAUGGCCAUUAAAAGUUAUUCAAAUCAUGACGCUGCACCCCACGGUUUAGGUUCUAGGGGGCGCCAAAGAUAACCCUAAGAUCCACAUAUUUAAAAGUCUUAUAACUUUUUAUUUUUGCCCUCACUGGCCUCCAAGUUUUCUAGGAUGAUGCAAUGUCCAGCCAUCAACACAUUUGUGAAGGAAUUUUUACUCCCCAAAAGAGCGCCCCCCCAUGGCAGGAGAAAAAAGUCCAUUUUUUCUUGUCCCCUAAGGUGAAAAUACACAUUGUUGAGUGUAACACCUGUACGCUUUGGCAUAAUGACACAAAAAUUGACACACACGUAUCUCAAUAAGAUCUACGAAAAAGUAAAUGCGCGCGUAUCUGUCAAAUGUACGGUUAAAGGGUUAUUCCGCAUUUUUUGCCGAUCCGCAAACAUUGGAAUUUCGCUAACUCCUCCGAAGGCUUUCGUUCCACCGGCACCACAUUUGCUCAGGCCAAUCUACACCCCAUGGCCAUUAAAAGUUAUUCAAAUCAUGACGCUGCACCCCACGGUUUAGGUUCUAGGGGGAGCCAAAGAUAACCGUAAAAUCCACAUAUUUAAAAGUCUUAUAACUUUUUAUUUUUGCCCUCACUGGCCUCCAAGUUUUCUAGGAUGAUGCAAUGUCCAGCCAUCAACACAUUUGUGAAGGAAUUUUUACUCCCCAAAAGAGCGCCCCCCAUGGCAGGAGAAAAAAGUCCAUUUUUUCUUGUCCCCUAAGGUGAAAAUACACAUUGUUGAGUGUAACACCUGUACGCUUUGGCAAAAUGACACAAAAAUUGACACACACAUGUAUCUCAAUAAGAUCUACGAAAAAGUCAAUGCGCGCGUAUCUGUCAAAUGUACGGUUAAAGGGUUAUUCCGCAUUUUUUGCCGAUCCGCACACAUUGGAAUUUCGCUAACUCCUCCGAAGGCUUUCGUUCCACCGGCACCACAUUUGCUCAGGCCAAUCUACACCCCAUGGCCAUUAAAAGUUAUUCAAAUCAUGACGCUGCACCCCACGGUUUAGGUUCUAGGGGGAGCCAAAGAUAACCGUAAAAUCCACAUAUUUAAAAGUCUUAUAACUUUUUAUUUUUGUCCCCACUGGCCUCCAAGUUUUCUAGGAUGAUGCAAUGUCCAGCCAUCAACACAUUUGUGAAGGAAUUUUUACUCGGCAAAAGAGCGCCCCCCCAUGGCAGGAGAAAAAAGUCAAUUUUUUCUUGUCCCCUAAGGUGAAAAUACACAUUGUUGAGUGUAACACCUGUACGCUUUGGCAUAAUGACACAAAAAUUGACACACACGUAUCUCAAUAAGAUCUACGAAAAAGUAAAUGCGCGCGUAUCUGUCAAAUGUACGGUUAAAGGGUUAUUCCGCAUUUUUUGCCGAUCCGCAAACAUUGGAAUUUCGCUAACUCCUCCGAAGGCUUUCGUUCCACCGGCACCACAUUUGCUCAGGCCAAUCUACACCCCAUGGCCAUUAAAAGUUAUUCAAAUCAUGACGCUGCACCCCACGGUUUAGGUUCUAGGGGGAGCCAAAGAUAACCGUAAAAUCCACAUAUUUAAAAGUCUUAUAACUUUUUAUUUUUGCCCUCACUGGCCUCCAAGUUUUCUAGGAUGAUGCAAUGUCCAGCCAUCAACACAUUUGUGAAGGAAUUUUUACUCCCCAAAAGAGCGCCCCCCCAUGGCAGGAGAAAAAAGUCCAUUUUUUCUUGUCCCCUAAGGUGAAAAUACACAUUGUUGAGUGUAACACCUGUACGCUUUGGCAAAAUGACACAAAAAUUGACACACACAUGUAUCUCAAUAAGAUCUACGAAAAAGUCAAUGCGCGCGUAUCUGUCAAAUGUACGGUUAAAGGGUUAUUCCGCAUUUUUUGCCGAUCCGCACACAUUGGAAUUUCGCUAACUCCUCCGAAGGCUUUCGUUCCACCGGCACCACAUUUGCUCAGGCCAAUCUACACCCCAUGGCCAUUAAAAGUUAUUCAAAUCAUGACGCUGCACCCCACGGUUUAGGUUCUAGGGGGAGCCAAAGAUAACCGUAAAAUCCACAUAUUUAAAAGUCUUAUAACUUUUUAUUUUUGUCCCCACUGGCCUACAAGUUUUCUAGGAUGAUGCAAUGUCCAGCCAUCAACACAUUUGUGAAGGAAUUUUUACUCGGCAAAAGAGCGCCCCCCCAUGGCAGGAGAAAAAAGUCAAUUUUUUCUUGUCCACUAAGGUGAAAAUACACAUUGUUGAGUGCUACGCCUGUAUGUUUUGUCGUAUUGACACAAAAUUUUACAUACACGUGUAUUUACAUAAGAUCUUCGAAAAAGUCAAUGGCCACGUAUCUGUAAAAUGUACGGUUAAAGGGUUAUUUGGCAUUUUUUGCAGAUUCGCACACAUUGGAAUUUCGCUAAUUCCUCCGAAGGCUUUCGUUCCACCGGCACCACAUUUGCUCAGGCCAAUCUACACCCCAUGGCCAUUAAAAGUUAUUCAAAUCAUGACGCUGCACCCCACGGUUUAGGUUCUAGGGGGCGCCAAAUAUAACCCUAAAAUCCACAUAUUUAAAAGUCUUAUAACUUUUUAUUUUUGUCCUCACUGGCCUCCAUGUUUUCUAGGAUGAUGCAAUGUCCAGCCAUCAACACAUUUGUGAAGGAGUUUUUUCUCUUUAAAAGAGCGCCCCCCAUGGCAGGAGAAUAAAGUCAAGUUUUUCCUGUUCAUCAUUCAAUGGCUCAAACGCACUGCUCUCUCGGCAAAAGCGAAAGGAGGAGCAACUUGCCAUUUGGAUAUAUCUUAGCUGUGUUUGUGCCCUCACUCAUGGUCCAGACUUUUUUCAAAUAGGACAUGGAGUUUUUCUGCAGCGAGCGUUUUGGUAGAAACUGCGCCUCCCGUUCAUUAUAAUGGUAAAUGACCACAAACAAGUGCGCACACCAUCUUUGGACCUUGAGUGUGACGCGAUCGGGUGGGGGAGGCGGUCGCGCUGGGGGCGGCGUGACACGGCUCGGGCCCGCCAGUGCCCCAACGGGGCCCUAGUUAGGGCCCGAGCGUAGCUGCUAAGCAGCUGCGAGAGCCCUCUUGUUCCUGAUGGAUUCUUCUUUCGUUAUUUUUCCUCCGCUUUAAACUGGAAAAUGGCCCACUUCCCACUGGCGAAAACUCAGGAAAUUUGGCAGGACGACCGGGCCUGGUGAAAAAUUUGAUAUUCUGAAGUCGCCCAAACAAAAAAAUGAAAAAUGGCUGCAUAGCGCCCCCUAUGGUGAAAACUCACCUGACGCCUGUACACUUUGUCAAAAUGACACAAAAUUUGACACACAUGUGUAUCUCAAUAAGAUCUACAAAAAAGUCAGUGCGGGCGUAUCUGUCAAAUGUACCGUUAAAGGGCUAUUUCGCAUUUUUUGCCGAUCCGCACACAUUGGAAUUUCGCUAACUCCUCCGAAGGCUUUCGUUCCACCGGCACCACAUUUGCUCAGGCCAAUCUACACCCCAUGGCCAUUAAAAGUUGUACAAAUCAUGAUGCUGCACCCCACGGUUUACGUUCUAGGGGGCGCCAAAGAUAACCCAAAAAUCCACAUUCUUAAAAGUCAUAACUUUUUAUUUUUGUCCUCACUGGCCUCCAAGUUUUCUAGGAUGAUGCCAUGUCAAGCCAUCAACACAUUUGUGAAGGAAUUUUUACUCCCCAAAAGAGCGCCCCCCCAUGGCAGGAGAAAAAAGUCAAGUUUUUCUUGUCCCCUAACAUGAAAAUACACAUUGUUGAGUGUCACGCCUAAACGCUUUGUCAUAUUGACAAAAAAUUUGACAAUCACGUGUAUCUCAAUAAGAUCUACAAAAAAGUCAAAGAGCGCGUAUCUGUAUAAUGUACGGUUAAAGGGCUAUUUUGCAUUUUUUGCCGAUCCGCACACAUUGGAAUUUCGCUAACUCCUCCGAAGGCUUUCGUUCCACCGGCACCAAAUUUGCUCAGGCCAAUCUACACCCCAUGGCCAUUAAAAGUUGUACAAAUCAUGACGCUGCACCCCACGGUUUAGGUUCUAGGGGGCGCCAAAGAUAACCCAAAAAUCCACAUUCUUAAAAGUCUUAUAACUUUUUAUUUUUGUCCUCACUGGCCUCCAAGUUUUCUAGGAUAAUGCAAUGUGCAGCCAUCAACACAUUUGUGAAGGAAAUUUUACUCCCCAAAAGAGCGCCCCCCCAUGGCAGGAGAAAAAAGUCUAUUUUUUCUUGUCCCCUAAGGUGAAAAUACACAUUGUUUAGUGUCACGCCUGUACGCUUUGGCAAAAUGACACAAAUAUUGACACACACAUGUAUCUCAAUAAGAUCUACGAAAAAGUCAAAGAGCGCGUAUCUGUCAAAUGUACGGUUAAAGGGUUAUUCCGCAUUUUUUGCCGAUCCGCACACAUUGGAAUGUGGCUAACUCCUCCUAAGGCUUUCGUUCCACUGGCACCACAUUUGCUCAGGCCAAUCUACACCCCAUGGCCAUUAAAAGUUAUUCAAAUCAUGACGCUGCACCCCACGGUUUAGGUUCUAGGGGGCGCCAAAGAUAACCCUAAAAUCCACAUAUUUAAAAGUCUUAUAACUUCUUAUUUUUGUCCUCACUGGCCUCCAGGUUUUCUAGGAUGAUGCAAUGUCCAGCCAUCAACACAUUUGUGAAGGAAUUUUUACUCCCCAAAAGAGCGCCCCCCCAUGGCAGGAGAAAAAAGUCCAUUUUUUCUUGUCCCCUAAGGUGAAAAUACAUAUUGUUGAGAUUCACGCCUAUACGCUUUGUCAUAUUGACACAAAAUUUGACAAUCACGUGUAUCUCAAUAAGAUCUACGAAAAAGUCAAUGGGCGUGUAUCUGUCAAAUGUACGGUUAAAGGGCUAUUUUGCAUUUUUUGCCGAUUCGCACACAUUGGAAUGUGGCUAACUCCUCCUAAGGCUUUCGUCCCACUGACACCAAAUUUGCUCAGGCCAAUCUACACCCCAUGGCCAUUCAAAGUUGUAAAAAUCAUGACGCUGCACCCCACGGCUCACGUUCUAGGGGGCGCCAAAGAUGACCCAAAUAUCCACAUUCUUAAAAGAAUCCACAUCCCCCCCCCCAUCCCCCAUCCCCCAUGGCAGGAGAAACAGUCAAGUUUUUCCUGCCCAUCGCUCAAUGGCUCAAUCGCAUCGCUCUCCCGGCAACACCGUAACAAGGAGCAACUUGCCGUUUGGAUAUAUCCUAGCUGUGUUUGUGCCCUCACUCAUGGUCCAGACUUUUUUCAAAUAGGACAUGUAGUUUGUCUGCAGCGAGUGUUUUGGUAGAAUAUGCGCCUCCCAUUCAUUAUAAUGGGAAAUGACCACAGACAAGUGCGCACACCAUCUUUGGACCUUGAGUUUGACGCGAUCGGGAGGGGGAGGCGGUCGCGCCGGGGACGGCGCAUCGCGGCUCGGGCCCGACAGUGCCCCACCGGGGCCCUAGUUCUUUCUUUCUUUCUUCUUUUUCCUCCCCUUUGAACUGGAAAAUGGCCCACUUCCCACUGGCGAAAACUCAUGAAAUUUGGCAGGACGACCGGGCCUGGUGAAAAAUUCGAUAUUCUGAAGUCGCCCAAACAAGAAAAUGCAAAAUGGCUCCAUAGCGCCCCCUAAGGUGGAAAUUCACACUAUUGACUGUCACGCCUGUACGCUUUGUCAUAUUGACACAAAAAUUGACACACAUAUGUAUCUCAAUAAGAUCUACAAAAAAGUCAGUGCGGCCGUAUCUGUCAAAAUUACGGUUAAAGGGUUAUUUCGCAUUUUUUGCCGAUCCGCACACAUUGGAAUUUCGCUAACUCCUCCGAAGGCUUUCGUUCCACCGGCACCACAUUUGCUCAGGCCAAUCUACACCCCGUGGCCAUUAAAAGUUAUUCAAAUCAUGACGCUGCACCCCACGGUUUAGGUUCUAGGGGGCGCCAAAGAUAACCCUAAAAUCCACAUAUUUCAAAGUCUUAUAACUUUUUAUUUUUGUCCUCACUGGCCUCCAAGUUUUCUAGGAUGAUGCAAUGUCCAGCCAUCAACACAUUUGUGAAGGCAUUUUUACUCCCCAAAAGAGCGCCCCCCCAUGGCAGGAGAAAAAGUCCAUUUUUUCUUGUCCCCUAAGGUGAAAAUACACAUUGUUGAGUGUCACGCCUAUACGCUUUGUCAAAAUGACACAAAAAUUGACACACACAUGUAACUCAAUAAGAUCUACGAAAAAGUCAAUGCGCGCGUAUCUGUCAAAUGUACGGUUAAAGGGUUAUUCCGCAUUUUUUGCCGAUCCGCACACAUUGGAAUGUGGCUAACUCCUCCUAAGGCUUUCGUUCCACCGGCACCACAUUUGCUCAGGCCAAUCUACACCCCAUGGCCAUUAAAAGUUAUCAAAAUCAUGACGCUGCACCCCACGGUUUAGGUUCUAGGGGGCGCCAAAGAUAACCCUAAAAUCCACAUAUUUAAAAGUCUUAUAACUUUUUAUUUUUGUCCUCACUGGCCUCCAAGUUUUCUAGGAUGAUGCAAUGUCCAGCCAUCAACAAAUUUGUGAAGGAAUUUUUACUCCCCAAAAGAGCGCCCCCCCAUGGCAGGAGAAAAAAGUCCAUUUUUUCUUGUCCCCUAAGGUGAAAAUACAUAUUGUUGAGAUUCACGCCUAUACGCUUUGUCAUAUUGACACAAAAUUUGACAAUCACGUGCCUUGCCUGGUAUCAUUUUUUUCAGCACAACCUCACCUGUGCGAAUUUACAGUUAUUUUAUCAUGUUGACAUACUGAAUUUACACAAUGGACCCAAAUUCACACACAAAACAUAAAAUCCGAGUGGAAAAAAGUAACAUUUUUACUGUGAAAACCACAAAUAUGUGUGAUGAACUGUUUUUAAAACUUAAACUUCAAAUAAAAAUUGUAAACUUCAAAACAUAUGCAAAUUUUUAACAAAGAACAUAGUGAUUUACCUCUAUUUACAUCAAAAUGCAGGCAAUGGCCCAGGCGUUCUUUGUAAAAUUAUUUACAAAACACUGUAUAGUCUCACAAAUGUCACUUUUUAUUUAUGCCACUACAAAAAAACAUGAUGUAAAUGAUGCAUGAUGUAAAACAUGAUGUAAAAAACUUGUGUAGAUCCUCCUGUAUGUCAGUCCAUGUGUAAUUUUUCCAUAAUUCUUUGUUUUUUGCAGCAUUUUUGUUAGUGUAACUGCAGAUUGUGCUGACAGUGUCUAUGGCACAAAAAAAAAAAAAAUUAAAAUGCCUCAACAUGAACCCCUGGUGGUCUCUGAGGGUGAAACCUGCUAACUGCUGCAGCUCUGUCAGCUUCAGUCUCCCAUGCAGAGCUCUGAGCGCAUGUGUGGCUCUGCACCCUUAGCAGCGUUGCUAACUCCUCAGUAAGGAAAGCCUGCUUCAUGUCAGAGUCUCUAAACUCCAGAAGAAGUCGAUAAAAGUCCCUUUCUUUCUAAAAAAAAGUCGUUAGGGGGUCUGAAAAGUCAUUGAAUCUAACAACAAAGUCGCUAGGUUUGCAACUACGUGUCCCAGACUGCAUCCCUGCUGAGAGUCCCUCCCUCCCUUCUCAUGUUGCAGGAAGAACGUAAGCGCCCGCCCCUUGUCAAUCAGUCACCAUAUAAUUUUGGAUUGGUUGUUGUGGUGAAGUUUUCCACCAAUAGGAGAGAUGUUGUGGUGUGUUUUUUUUUUUCUUUUGGCAAGCCUUUUCCGCCUGUAAGAGCUGUCGCUAAUGUCUGCAUGCUAUGUUUUCCUGUCUCAUACAGCGCGAUCGAGCGCCGAACGUGAUCAAAAUAAGCAGAAAAAAAGUAUCGCGGACAUAAUUUAUCAUAACUCUGGUUUUAUUUGGCCUAUCAACACAAUUUAAAAACUGGUAUAUAGGUUGAGGUCCUCACUUUUGAGAUAAGUUGAAACGGAGAGUCAACGAGGCUCCGUCUUGCAGCUACAUCCGGUUAAAUAUGUCAUGUGACUUGAACGCACACACAGACACACACACACACGCACACACACACACACACACACACACACACACACACUCAGAGUCUGGUUUUUAGCACCUGCAAAAACAUGCUAUUUACAUAUUUGACAAGAAUGCAGAGGCUCCUUUUGCCCCUGAAAAAAAUCAAAUUUCAAACACAACUUGACUGCUCAUUUCUCCAAAAGACAACCAUGAAGCUCCAUCCAAACCUGAAGCAGGCAGUUGGUGCAUGUGUACAGUAACCUGAGGGGAGUGAGGUGAGUGCUUCUGAGGAGAACAUGAGCAGUGAAGAUUCACCUUGGAGCUAGAACAGAGACAUGCACAUGAUUAUACAGGGGCAGGGGCUCAAGUUUUUUCCAGUUGUUUAUACAAUAUGGAAAUUAAUGUGAAAUUAAAACACAAAGUAUUAAUAGAAAGGUAAUGACUGUCCUGUGUAGGUGACAGUGAUAUCCAAUAGGCUAGGCACUCACGAGGCUGGCUGUGGCAAGUGUAAGUGAAAGCAACACGCACUGGCAGGAAGAACAGCAAACGCCGAUGAAGGAAAAGGGUCUUUGCAGUGAUGGGCGUUACCAGAGAGGGCGAUGGCCAGAGGACACAAAUGGGACGGGGAGGCAGCACGUUGGGGGGGGACGCGACACGGCUCGGGCCCGCCAGUGCCCCAACGGGGUCCUAGUUCUUUCUUUCUUUCUUCUUUUUCCUCCCCUUUGAACUGGAAAAUGGCCCACUUCCCACUGGCGAAAACUCAUGAAAUUUGGCAGGACGACCGGGCCUGGUGAAAAAUUCGAUAUUCUGAAGUCGCCCAAACAAUAAAAUGCAAAAUGGCUCCAUAGCGCCCCCUAAGGUGGAAAUUCACACUAUUGACUGUCACACCUGUACGCUUUGUCAUAUUGACACAAAAAUUGACACACAUAUGUAUCUCAAUAAGAUCUACAAAAAAGUCAGUGCGGCCGUAUCUGUCAAAAUUACGGUUAAAGGGUUAUUUCGCAUUUUUUGCCGAUCCGCACACAUUGGAAUUUCGCUAACUCCUCCAAAGGCUUUCGUUCCACCGGCACCACAUUUGCUCAGGCCAAUCUACACCCCGUGGCCAUUAAAAGUUAUCAAAAUCAUGACGCUGCACCCCAAGGUUUAGGUUCUAGGGGGCGCCAAAGAUAACACUAAAAUCCACAUAUUUAAAAGUCUUAUAACUUUUUAUUUUUGUCCUCACUGGCCUCCAAGUUUUCUAGGAUGAUGCAAUGUCCAGCCAUCAACACAUUUGUGAAGGAAUUUUUACUCCCCAAAAGAGCGCCCCCCCAUGGCAGGAGAAAAAAGUCCAUUUUUUCUUGUCCCCUAAGGUGAAAAUACACAUUGUUGAGUGUCACGCCUAUACACUUUGUCAAAAUGACACAAAAAUUGACACACACAUGUAACUCAAUAAGAUCUACGAAAAAGUCAAUGCGCGCGUAUCUGUCAAAUGUACGGUUAAAGGGUUAUUUCGCAUUUUUUGCCGAUCCGCACACAUUGGAAUGUGGCUAACUCCUCCUAAGGCUUUCGUUCCACCGGCACCACAUUUGCUCAGGCCAAUCUACACCCCGUGGCCAUUAAAAGUUAUCAAAAUCAUGACGCUGCACCCCAAGGUUUAGGUUCUAGGGGGCGCCAAAGAUAACCCUAAAAUCCACAUAUUUAAAAGUCUUAUAACUUUUUAUUUUUGUCCUCACUGGCCUCCAAGUUUUCUAGGAUGAUGCAAUGUCCAGCCAUCAACACAUUUGUGAAGGAAUUUUUACUCCCCAAAAGAGCGCCCCCCCAUGGCAGGAGAAAAAAGUCCAUUUUUUCUUGUCCCCUAAGGUGAAAAUACAUAUUGUUGAGAUUCACGCCUAUACGCUUUGUCAUAUUGACACAAAAUUUGACAAUCACGUGCCUUACCUGGUAUCAUUUUUUUCAGCACAACCUCACCUGUGCGAAUUUACAGUUAUUUUAUCAUGUUGACAUACUGAAUUUACACAAUGGACCCAAAUUCACACACAAAACAUAAAAUCCGAGUGGAAAAAAGUAACAUUUUUACUGUGAAAACCACAAAUAUGUGUGAUGAACUGUUUUUAAAACUUAAACUUCAAAUAAAAAAUUGUAAACUUCAAAACAUAUGCAAAUUUUAAACAAAGAACAUAGUGAUUUACCUCUAUUUACAUCAAAAUGCAGGCAAUGGCCCAGGCGUUCUUUGUAAAAUUAUUUACAAAACACUGUAUAGUCUCACAAAUGUCACUUUUUAUUUAUGCCACUACAAAAAAACAUGAUGUAAAUGAUGCAUGAUGUAAAACAUGAUGUAAAAAACUUGCGUAGAUCCUCCUCUAUGUCAGUCCAUGUGUAAUUUUUCCAUAAUUCUUUGUUUUUUGCAGCAUUUUUGUUAGUGUAACUGCAGAUUGUGCUGACAGUGUCUAUGGCACAAAAAAAAAAAUUCAAAAUGCCUCAACAUGAACCCCUGGUGGUCUCUGAGGGUGAAACCUGCUAACUGCUGCAGCUCUGUCAGCUUCAGUCUCCCAUGCAGAGCUCUGAGCGCAUGUGUGGCUCUGCACCCUUAGCAGCGUUGCUAACUCCUCAGUAAGGAAAGCCUGCUUCAUGUCAGAGUCUCUAAACUCCAGAAGAAGUCGAUAAAAGUCCCUUUCUUUCUAAAAAAAAGUUGUUAGGGGGUCUGAAAAGUCAUUGAAUCUAACAACAAAGUCGCUAGGUUUGCAACUACGUGUCCCAGACUGCAUCCCUGCUGAGAGUCCCUCCCUCCCUUCUCAUGUUGCAGGAAGAACGUAAGCGCCCGCCCCUUGUCAAUCAGUCACCAUAUAAUUUUGGAUUGGUUGUUGUGGUGAAGUUUUCCACCAAUAGGAGAGAUGUUGUGGUGUGUUUUUUUUUCUUUUGGCAAGCCUUUUCCGCCUGUAACGUCUGGUUCACACUGGAAGCGCCGCGCGCGGAACGGAAGCGCCGCGCACAGAGUUUCAGAUCGGCGCCCAUGUUAACCUAUGAGACUGUUCACACAGCACGUGCGCGGAACGGCUCGCGCUCUGGAGCGCGGCUGCUCCGCUUCUCUCUAUUUUUGGCGCGAGCCGCGCGCGCCGAUGUAAAGCUCAACAGAGCAGAUCGGACCAGACAGGAAGUCAGGAAGGAGAUGCGAGAGAAUCCGGUCAAUUUUCAAAAUAAAGUAAAUUUCAAUAAAUUAGAAAAAGAUUGACGGUGUUGCUUGUCGGUCUAUUUUUUUUACCGAUGAACACACACACACACACACACACACACACACACACACACACACACACACACACACACACACACACACACGGAGGGAGAGCUGCAGAGAUUCAGUGAUGUUAUUGAGACAAAGAGGGGGGGGGACUUUAUUACGAUACAGUCAAUAGCCUCGAGCUAACAAGGCUAUACAUACAACGGAGUCAACAGACUUCCCAAUUUAUUCGUCGUUUACCCCUAUAUAAUAAUUUAAAACAAUACUUGAAGAUGCUGUCAAUAUUUAAUUCAUGUAUGACGAAAUAAAAACGUAAAUAAAUAGUGAUUUACCCAUUUUUAAAGCGCUCGUAAGUGUGGAAAACUGAGGGCAGACGGAAACGGCCGAGCACUACCAGGGCUCAGUCGAUGUCUGACCGGCAUGUCAGAGCGCAGCAGAAAGCGCUUCCUGUGUGAACAGCCAAGCGCGAGCCGGCGCUGCGCGCGCGCGCGGCGCUUCCGUUCCGCGCGCGGCGCUUCCAGUGUGAACCAGACGUAAGACCUGUCGCUAAUGUCUGCAUGCUAUGUUUUCCUGUCUCAUACAGCGCGAUCGAGCGCCGAACGUGAUCAAAAUAAGCAGAAAAAAAGUAUCGCGGACAUAAUUUAUCAUAACUCUGGUUUUAUUUGGCCUAUCAACACAAUUUAAAAACUGGUAUAUAGGUUGAGGUCCUCACUUUUGAGAUAAGUUGAAACAGAGAGUCAACGAGGCUCCGUCUUGCAGCUACAUCCGGUUAAAUAUGUCAUGUGACUUGAACGCACACACAGACACACACACACGCACACACACACACACACACACACACACACUCAGAGUCUGGUUUUUAGCACCUGCAAAAACAUGCUAUUUACAUAUUUGACAAGAAUGCAGAGGCUCCUUUUGCCCCUGAAAAAAUCAAAUUUCAAACACAACUUGACUGGUCAUUUCUCCAAAAGACAACCAUGAAGCUCCAUCCAAACCUGAAGCAGGCAGUUGGUGCAUGUGUACAGUAACCUGAGGGGAGUGAGGUGAGUGCUUCUGAGGAGAACAUGAGCAGUGAAGAUUCACCUUGGAGCUAGAACAGAGACAUGCACAUGAUUAUACAGGGGCAGGGGCUCAAGUUUUUUCCAGUCGUUUAUACAAUAUGGAAAUUAAUGUGAAAUUAAAACACAAAGUAUUAAUAGAAAGGUAAUGACUGUCCUGUGUAGGUGACAGUGAUAUCCAAUAGGCUAGGCACUCACGAGGCUGGCUGUGGCAAGUGUAAGUGAAAGCAACACGCACUGGCAGGAAGAACAGCAAACGCCGAUGAAGGAAAAGGGUCUUUGCAGUGAUGGGCGUUACCAGAGAGGGCGAUGGCCAGAGGACACAAAUGGGACGGGAAGGCAGCACGUUGGGGGGGGGGGGGGGGACGCGACACGGCUCGGGCCCGCCAGUGCCCCAACGGGGUCCUAGUAUUAUUAUUUUUCCUCCGCUUUAAACUGGAAAAUGGCCCACUUCCCACUGGCGAAAACUCAGGAAAUUUGGCAGGACGACCGGGCCUGGUGAAAAAUUCGAUAUUCUGAAGUCGCCCAAACAAUAAAAUACAAAAUGGCUCCAAAGCGCCCCCUAAGGUGAAAAUUCACACUAUUGACUGUCACGCCUGUACGCUUUGUCAUAUUGACACAAAAAUUGACACACACAUGUAUCUCAAUAAGAUCUACAAAAAAGUCAGUGCGGGCGUAUCUGUCAAAUGUACGGUUAAAGGGUUAUUUCCGCAUUUUUUGCAGAUCCGCACACAUUGGAAUUUCGCUAACUCCUCCGAAGGCUUUCGGUCCACCGGCACCACAUUUGCUCAGGCCAAUCUACACUCCAUGGCCAUUCAAAGUUGUACAAAUCAUGAUGCUGCACCCCAUGGUUUAGGUUCUAGGGGGCGCCAAAAAUAACCCUAAAAUCCACAUUCUUAAAAGUUUUAUAACUUUUUAUUUUUGCCCUCACUGGCCUCCAAGUUUUCUAGGAUGAUGCAAUGUCCAGCCAUCAACACAUUUGUGAAGGAAUUUUUACUCCCCAAAAGAGCGCCCCCCCCUGGCAGGACAAAAAAGUCCAUUUUUUCUUGUCCCCUAAGGUGAAAAUACACAUUGUUGAAUGCCACGCCUGUACGCUUUGUCAUAUUGACACAAAAUUUGACAAUCACGUGUAUCUCAAUAAGAUCUACGAAAAAGUCAAUGCGCGCGUAUCUGUAAAAUGUACGGUUAAAGGGCUAUUUCGCAUUUUUUGCCGAUUCGCACACAUUGGAAUGUGGCUAACUCCUCCUAAGGUUUUCGUCCCACUGACACCAAAUUUGCUCAGGCCAAUCUACACCCCAUGGCCAUUCAAAGUUGUAAAAAUCAUGACGCUGCACCCCAUGGUCUACGUUCUAGGGGGCGCCAAAGAGGACCCAAAUAUCCACAUUUUUAAAGUCUUAUAACUUUUUAUUUUUGUCCUCACUGGCCUCCAAGUUUUCUAGGAUGAUGCAAUGUCCAGCCAUCAACACAUUUGUGAAGGAAUUUUUUCUCCCCAAAAGAGCGCCCCCCAUGGCAGGAGAAAAAGUCAAGUUUUUCCUGCCCAUCGCUCAAUGGCUCAAACGCAUCGCUCUCUCGGCAAAACCGAAAGGAGGAGCAACUUGCCAUUUGGAUAUAUACUAGCUGUGUUUGUGCCCUCACUCAUGGUCCAGACUUUUUUCAAAAAGGACAUGGAGUUUGUCUGCAGCGAGCGUUUUGGUAGAAACUGCGCCUCCCAUUCAUUAUAAUGGUAAAUGACCACAGACAAGUGCGCACACCAUCUUUGGACCUUGAGUGUGACGCGAUCGGGAGGGGUAGGCGGUCGCGCUGGGGGCGGCGUGACACGGCUCGGGCCCGCCAGUGCCCCACCGGGGCCCUAGUUUCUUUUUCCUCCCCUUUGAACUGGAAAAUGGCCCACUUCCCACUGGCGAAAACUCAUGAAAUUUGGCAGGACGACCGGGCCUGGUAAAAAAAUUGAUAUUCCGAAGUCGCCCAAACAAAAAAAUGCAAAAUGGCUCCAUAGCGCCCCCUAAGGUGAAAAUUCACACUAUUGACUGUCACGCCUGUACCCUUUGUCAAAAUAACACAAAAAUUGACACACACAUGUAUCUCAAUAAGAUCUACAAAAAAGUCAGUACGGGCGUAUCUGUCAAAUGUACGGUUAAAGGGUUAUUUCGCAUUUUUUGCCGAUCCGCACACAUUGGAAUUUCGCUAACUCCUCCGAAGGCUUUCGUUCCACCGGCACCACAUUUGCUCAGGCCAAUCUACACCCCAUGGCCAUUAAAAGUUAUUCAAAUCAUGACGCUGCACCCCACGGUUUACGUUCUAGGGGGCGCCAAAGAUGACCCAAAUAUCCACAUUCUUAAAAGAAUCCACAUCCCCCCCCCCAUCCCCCAUCCCCCAUCCCCCAUGGCAGGAGAAACAGUCAAGUUUUUCCUGCCCAUCACUCACUGGCAGCUGCUAAGCAGCUGCGAGAGCCCUGUUGUUCCUGAUGAGUUUUUCUUUGUUUCUUUCUUUCUUCUUUAGGGCCCGAGCGUAGCUGCUAAGCAGCUGCGAGGCCCUAUUAUUCCUGUAGUGGUUUUUCUUUGUUAGGGCCCGAGCGUAGCUGCUAAGCAGCUGCGAGAGCCCUAUUAUUCCCCAAGUGGUUUUUCUUUGUUUCUUCUUUCUUUCUUUCUUAUUUUUCCUCCCCUUUGAACUGGAAAAUGGCCCACUUCCCACUGGCGAAAACUCAUGAAAUUUGGCAGGAUGACCGGGCCUGGUGAAAAAUUUGAUAUUCCGAAGUCGCCCAAACAAGAAAAUGCAAAAUGGCUCCAUAGCGCCCCCUAAGGUGAAAAUUCACACUAUUGACUGUCACGCCUUUACGCUUUGUCAAAAUGACACAAAAAUUGACACACACGUGUAUCUCAAUAAGAUCUACAAAAAAGUCAGUGCGGGCAUAUCUGUCAAAUGUACGGUUAAAGGGUUAUUCCGCAUUUUUUGCCGAUCCGCACACAUUGGAAUUUCGCUAACUCCUCCGAAGGCUUUCGUUCCACCGGCACCACAUUUGCUCAGGCCAAUCUACACCCCAUGGCCAUUAAAAGUUAUUCAAAUCAUGACGCUGCACCCCACGGUUUAGGUUCUAGGGGGCGCCAAAGAUAACCCUAAAAUCCACAUAUUUAAAAGUCUUAUAACUUUUUAUUUUUGUCCUCACUGGCCUCCAAGUUUUCUAGGAUGAUGCAAUGUCCAGCCAUCAACACAUUUGUGAAGGAAUUUUUACUCCCCAAAAGAGCGCCCCCCCAUGGAAGGAGAAAAAAGUCCAUUUUUUCUUGUCCCGUAAGGUGAAAAUUCACAUUGUUGAGUGUGACACCUGUACGCUUUGUCAUAUUGACACAAAAUUUGACAAUCACGUGUAUCUCAAUAAGAUCUACGAAAAAGUCAAUGGGUGCAUAUCUGUCAAAUGUACGGUUAGAGGGCUAUUUUGCAUUUUUUGCCGAUUCGCACACAUUGGAAUGUGGCUAACUCCACCUAAGGCUUUCGUCCCACUGAAACCAAAUUUGCUCAGGCCAAUCUACACGCCAUGGCCAUUCAAAGUUGUAAAAAUCAGGACGCUGCACCCCACGGUUUACGUUCUAGGGGGCGCCAAAGAUGACCAAAAAAUCCACAUUCUUAAAAGAAUCCACAUUCUCCCCCCCCAUGGCACGAGAAAAAGUCAAGUUUUUCCUGCCCAUCGCUCAAUGGCUCAAUCGCAUCACUCUCCAGGCAACACCGUAAGGAGGAGCAACCUGCCAUUUGGAUAUAUCCCAGCUGUGUUUGUGCCCUCACUCAUGGUCCAGACUUUUUUCAAAUAGGACAUGAAGUUUGUCUGCAGCGAGUGUUUUGGUAGAAACUGCGCCUCCCAUUCAUUAUAAUGGGAAAUGACCACAGACAAGUGCGCACACCAUCUUUGGACCUUGAGUGUGACGCGAUCGGGAGGGGGAGGCGGUCACGCUGGGGGCGGCACGACGCGGCUCGGGCCCGACAGUGCCCCAACGGGGCCCUAGUCUUUGUUAGGGCCCGAGCGUAGCUGCUAAGCAGCUGCGAGAGCCCUAUUAUUCCUGAUGGAUUCUUCUUUCUUCUUUAGGGCCCGAGCGUAGCUGCUAAGCAGCUGCGAGAGCCCUAUUAUUCCUGAUGGAUUCUUCUUUCUUUAGGGCCCGAGCGUAGCUGCUAAGCAGCUGCGAGAGCCCUCUUGUUCCUGCAUGUUUCCUUCUUUCGUUAUUAUUUUUCCUCCGCUUCAAACUGGAAAAUGCCCCACUUCCCACUGGCGAAAACUCAGGACAUUUGGCAGGACGACCGGGCCUGGUGAAAAAUUCGAUAUUCUGAAGUCGCCCAAACAAUAAAAUGCAAAAUGGCUCCAUAGCGCCCCCUAAGGUGAAAAUUCACAUGACGGCUGUACGCUUUGUCAUAUUGACACAAAAAUUGACACACACAUGUAUCUCAAUAAGAUCUACAAAAAAGUCAGUGCGGGCGUAUCUGUCAAAUGUACGGUUAAUGGGUUAUUUUGCAUUUUUUGCAGAUCUGCACACAUUGGAAUUUCGCUAACUCCUCCGAAGGCUUUCGUUUGACCGGCACCACAUUUGCGCAGGCCAAUCUACCCCCCAUGGCCAUUAAAAGUUGUACAAAUCAUGACGCUGCACCCCACGGUUUACGUUCUAGGGGGCGCCAAAGAUAACCCAAAAAUCCACAUUCUUAAAAGUCUUAUAACUUUUUACUUUUGUCCUCACUGGCCUCCAAGUUUUCUAGGAUGAUGCAAUGUCCAGCCAUCAACACAUUUGUGAAGGAAUUUUUACUCGCCAAAAGAGCGCCCCCCAUGGCAGGAGAAAAAAGUCAAUUUUUUCUUGUCCCCUAAGGCGAAUAUACACAUUGUUGAGUGUCACGCCUGUACGCUUUGUCAUAUUGACACAAAAAUUAACACACACAUGUAUCUCAAUAAGAUCUACGAAAAAGUCAAUGUGCGCGUAUCUGUAAAAUGUACAGUUAAAGGGCUAUUUCGCAUUUUUUGCCGAUUCGCACACAUUGGAAUGUGGCUAACUCCUCCUAAAGCUUUCGUCCCAUCGGCACCAAAUUUGCUCAGGCCAAUCUACACCCCAUGGCCAUUCAAAGUUGUACAAAUCAUGACGCUGCAUCCCACGGUUUACGUUCUAGGGGGCGCCAAAGAUGACCCAAAUAUCCACAUUUUUAAAAGUCUUAUAACUUUAUUUUUGUCCUCACUGGCCUCCAAGUUUUCUAGGAUGAUGCAAUGUCCAGCCAUCAACACAUUUGUGAAGGAAUUUUUACUCCCCAAAAGAGCGCCCCCCCAUGGCAGGAGAAAAAAGUCAAUUUUUUCUUGUCCCGUAAGGUGAAAAUUCACAUUGUUGAGUGUGACACCUGUACGCUUUGUCAUAUUGACACAAAAUUUGACAAUCACGUGUAUCUCAAUAAGAUCUACGAAAAAGUCAAUGGGUGCGUAUCUGUCAAAUGUACGGUUAGAGGGCUAUUUUGCAUUUUUUGCCGAUUCGCAUACAUUGGAAUGUGGCUAACUCCUCCUAAGGCUUUCGUUCCACCGGCACCACAUUUGCUCAGGCCAAUCUACACCCCAUGGCCAUUCAAAGUUGUAAAGCUCAGGACGCUGCACCCCACGGUUUAUGUUCUAGGGGGCGCCAAAGAUGACCAAAAAAUCCACAUUCUUAAAAGAAUCCACAUUCUCCCCCCCCAUGGCACGAGAAAAAGUCAAGUUUUUCCUGCCCAUCGCUCAAUGGCUCAAUCGCAUCGCUCUCCAGGCAACACCGUAAGGAGGAGCAACCUGCCAUUUUGAUAUAUUCCAGCUGUGUUUGUGCCCUCACUCAUGGUCCAGACUUUUUUCAAAAAGGACAUGAAGUUUGUCUGCAGCGAGUGUUUUGGUAGAAACUGCGCCUCCCAUUCAUUAUAAUGGGAAAUGACCACAGACAAGUGCGCACACCAUCUUUGGACCUUGAGUGUGACGCGAUCGGGAGGGGGAGGCGGUCACGCUGGGGGCGGCACGACGCGGCUCGGGCCCGACAGUGCCCCACCGGGGCCCUAGUCUUCUUCUUCUUCUUCUUAUUAGGGCCCGAGCGUAGCUGCUAAGCAGCUGCGAGAGCCCUCUUGUUCCUGAUGGAUUCUUCUUUUGUUAUUAUUAUUAUUAGGGCCCGAGCGUAGCUGCUAAGCAGCUGCGAGAGCCCUCUUGUUCCUGAUGGAUUCUUCUUUUGUUAUUAUUAUUAUUACUUUUCCUCCGCUUUAAACUGGAAAAUGGCCCACUUCCCACUGGCGAAAACUCAGGAAAUUUGGCAGGACGACCGGGCCUGGUGAAAAAUUCGAUAUUCUGAAGUCGCCCAAACAAUAAAAUACAAAAUGGCUCCAUAGCGCCCCCUAAGGUGAAAAUUCACACUAUUGACUGUCACGCCUGUACGCUUUGUCAUAUUGACACAAAAAUUGACACACACAUGUAUCUCAAUAAGAUCUACAAAAAAGUCAGUGCGGGCGUAUCUGUCAAAUGUACGGUUAAAGGGUUAUUUCGCAUUUUUUGCAGAUCCGCACACAUUGGAAUUUCGCUAACUCCUCCGAAGGCUUUCGGUCCACCGGCACCACAUUUGCUCAGGCCAAUCUACACUCCAUGGCCAUUCAAAGUUGUACAAAUCAUGAUGCUGCACCCCAUGGUUUAGGUUCUAGGGGGCGCCAAAAAUAACCCUAAAAUCCACAUUCUUAAAAGUUUUAUAACUUUUUAUUUUUGCCCUCACUGGCCUCCAAGUUUUCUAGGAUGAUGCAAUGUCCAGCCAUCAACACAUUUGUGAAGGAAUUUUUACUCCCCAAAAGAGCGCCCCCCCCCCCAUGGCAGGACAAAAAAGUCAAUUUUUUCUUGUCCCCUAAGGUGAAAAUACACAUUGUUGAAUGCCACGCCUGUACGCUUUGUCAUAUUGACACAAAAUUUGACAAUCACGUGUAUCUCAAUAAGAUCUACAAAAAAGUCAACGCGCGCGUAUCUGUAAAAUGUACGGUUAAAGGGCUAUUUCGCAUUUUUUGCCGAUUCGCACACAUUGGAAUGUGGCUAACUCCUCCUAAGGUUUUCGUCCCACUGACACCAAAUUUGCUCAGGCCAAUCUACACCCCAUGGCCAUUCAAAGUUGUAAAAAUCAUGACGCUGCACCCCAUGGUCUACGUUCUAGGGGGCGCCAAAGAGGACCCAAAUAUCCACAUUUUUAAAGUCUUAUAACUUUUUAUUUUUGUCCUCACUGGCCUCCAAGUUUUCUAGGAUGAUGCAAUGUCCAGCCAUCAACACAUUUGUGAAGGAAUUUUUUCUCCCCAAAAGAGCGCCCCCCCAUGGCAGGAGAAAAAGUCAAGUUUUUCCUGCCCAUCGCUCAAUGGCUCAAACGCAUCGCUCUCUCGGCAAAACCGAAAGGAGGAGCAACUUGCCAUUUGGAUAUAUACUAGCUGUGUUUGUGCCCUCACUCAUGGUCCAGACUUUUUUCAAAAAGGACAUGGAGUUUGUCUGCAGCGAGCGUUUUGGUAGAAACUGCGCCUCCCAUUCAUUAUAAUGGUAAAUGACCACAGACAAGUGCGCACACCAUCUUUGGACCUUGAGUGUGACGCGAUCGGGAGGGGUAGGCGGUCGCGCUGGGGGCGGCGUGACACGGCUCGGGCCCGCCAGUGCCCCACCGGGGCCCUAGUUAUUAUUUUUCCUCCGCUUUAAACUGGAAAAUGGCCCACUUCCCACUGGCGAAAACUCAUGAAAUUUGGCAGGACGACCGGGCCUGGUGAAAAAUUCGAUAUUCUGAAGUCGCCCAAACAAGAAAAUGCAAAAUGGCUUAAUAGCGCCCCCAAAGGUGAAAAUUCACACUAUUGACUGUCACGCCUGUACGCUUUGUCAUAUUGACACAAAAAUUGACACACACAUGUAUCUCAAUAAGAUCUACAAAAAAGUCAGUGCGGGCGUAUCUGUCAAAUGUACGGUUAAAGGGUUAUUUCGCAUUUUUUGCCGUUCCGCACACAUUGGAAUUUCGCUAACUCCUCCGAAGGCUUUCGUUCCACCAGCACUACAUUUGCUCAGGCCAAUCUACACCCCAUGGCCAUUGAAAGUUGUACAAAUCAUGACGCUGCACCCCACGGUUUACGUUCUAGGGGGCGCCAAAGAUAACCCACAAAUCCACAUUCUUAAAAAUCUUAUAACUUUUUAUUUUUGUCCUCAUUGGCCUCCAAGUUUUCUAGGAUGAUGCAAUGUCCAGCCAUCAACACAUUUGUGAAGGAAUUUUUACUCCCCAAAACAGCGCCCCCCCCCAUGGCAGGACAAAAAAGGCCAUUUUUUCUUGUCCCCUAAGGUGAAAAUACACAUUGUUCAAUGUCACGCCUAUACGCUUUGUCAUAUUGACACAAAAUUUGACACACACGUGUAUCUCAAUAAGAUCUACGAAAAAGUCAAUGGGCACAUAUCUGUAAAAUGUACAAUUAAAGGGCUAUCUUGCAUUUUUUGCCGAUUCGCACACAUUGGAAUGUGGCUAACUCCUCCUAAGGCUUUCGUUCUACUGACACCAAAUUUGCUCAGGCCAAUCUACACCCCAUGGCCAUUCAAAGUUGUACAAAUCAUGACGCUGCACCCCACGGUUUAGGUUCUAGGGGGCGCCAAAGAUGACCCAAAUAUCCACAUUUCUAAAAGUCUUAUAACUUUUUAUUUUUGUCCUCACUGGCCUCCAAGUUUUCUAGGAUGAUGCAAUGUGCAGCCAUCAACACAUCUGUGAAGGAAUUUUUUCUCCCCAAAAGAGCACCCCCCCCCCCCCCCCCCAUGGCAGGAGAAAAAGUCAAGUUUUUCCAGCCCAUCGCUUAAUGGCUCAAACGCAUUUCUCUCCCGCUAAAACCAAAAGGAGGAGCAACUUACCAUUUGGAUAUGUCCUAGCUGUGUUUUUGCCCUCACUCAUGGUCCAGAGUUUUUUCAAAUAGGACAUGUAGUUUGUCUGCAGCGAGCGUUUUGGUAGAAACUGUGCCUCCCAUUCAUUAUAAUGGGAAAUGACCAAAGACAGGUGCGCACACCAUCUUUGGACCUUGACUUUGACGUCACAGUUUGAGAUACAAAUGUUAUUUGACCUCUGACCUUUGGUGGACACCCUAACCUUUCAACCCGCGAAAACGGCGUUUCAAUAGCUCUUACGGCUUUCCUACAAAUACACUUUGUUCAGCUACUCCUACUGUCCUUUAAGCUCUGCUUCUCAGAUCAUCAAAGAGUGUGCACGUGUGUAAUGAGCGCAUAUUGAAUGUUAAUUAUGUUAAAUAUGUUAAUUAUUAGAAGAAAAAACAACAACAGUCCUUUUGGACAAAAUUUCCUUUUAUUACAGAAUUAGAAUAAUGGAAGCAUAGUCCAAGGAAACCAUUCAAGUGAUGUCAUACCUCAUAAUUUAUUGAGAUGUUGGCUAGUCUGGGCAUUUCUUCAUUCAUCAGGUUUCCUGCAUGCAUACUAACAGAGCACAUCAGUAGCAGUGAGUGAUAAGUAUGAGUGUGUCAUUGUGUAAGAAAGAAAGUGGUUUACUUACACAUCCAUAGAAAAUAGGUGGUUGAGCACAGCACGCAAACAAAGCUUUGCCACAACGGUUGAACUUCCCAAGUAGCUGAUACCAAGGUCACGCAAUCAUGGUGAGCAAAGGUCAAACCAGGCCAGGCACUCACGAGGCUGGCUGUGGCAAGUGUAAGUGAAAGCAACACGCAAUGGCAGGAAGAACAGCAAACACCGAUGAAGGAAAAGGGUCUUUGCAGUGAUGGGCGUCACCAGAGAGGGCGAUGGCCAGAGGGCACGAAUGGGACGGGGAGGCGGUCGCGCUGGGGGCGGCGCGAUGCGGCUCGGGCCCGCCAGUGCCCCAACGGGGCCCUAGUUAUUUUUCUGCCCCUUUGAACUGGAAAAUGGCCCACUUCCCACUGGUGAAAACUCAUGAAAUUUGGCAGGACGACCGGGCCUGGUGAAAAAUUCGAUAUUCUGAAGUCAACCAAACAAUUAAAUGCAAAAUGGCUCCAUAGCGCCCCCUAAGGUGAAAAAUUCACAUGAUUGAGUGUCACGCCUGUACGCUUUGUCAAAAUGACACAAAAUUUGACACACACGUGUAUCUCAAUAAGAUCUACAAAAAAGUCAGUGCGGGCGUAUCUGUCAAAUGUACGGUUAAAGGGUUAUUUCGCAUUUUUUGCCGAUCCGCACACAUUGGAAUUUCGCUAACUCCUCCUAAAUCUUUUGUCCCAUCGGCUUCAAAUUUGCUCAGGUCAAUCUACACCCCAUGGCCAUUCAAAGUUGUACAAAUCAUGACGCUGCACCCCACAGUUUACGUUCUAGGGGGCGCCAAAGAGGACCCAAAUAUCCACAUUUUUAAAAGUCUUAUAACUUUUUAUUUUUGUCCUCACUGGCCUCCAAGUUUUCUAGGAUGAUGCAAUGUCCAGCCAUCAACACAUUUGUGAAGGAAUUUUUUCUCCCCAAAAGAGCGCCCCCCCAUGGCAGGAGAAAAAGUCAAGUUUUUCCUGCCCAUCGCUCAAUGGCUCAAACGCAUCGCUCUCUCUGCAAAACCGAAAGGAGGAGCAACUUGCCAUUUGGAUAUAUACUAGCUGUGUUUGUGCCCUCACUCAUGGUCCAGACUUUUUUCAAAUAGGACAUGUAGUUUGUCUGCAGCGAGCGUUUUGGUAGAAACUGCGCCUCCCAUUCAUUAUAAUGGGAAAUGACCACAGACAAGUGCGCACACCAUCUUUGGACCUUGAGUGUGACGCGAUCGGGAGGGGGAGGCGGUCGCGCUGGGGGCGGCGCGACGCGGCUCGGGCCCGACAGUGCCCCACCGGGGCCCUAGUUAGGGCCCGAGCGUAGCUGCUAAGCAGCUGCGAGAGCCCUCUUGUUCCUGAUGGAUUCUUCUUUAGGGCCCGAGCGUAGCUGCUAAGCAGCUGCGAGAGCCCUCUUGUUCCUGCAUGUUUCCUUCUUUUGUUAUUAUUAGGGCCCGAGCCAGCUGCAGAGCAGCCGGGCGUAGGCCCUAUUAUUCCCCAAGUGGUUUUUCUUUGUUUCUUUGUUUAGGGCCCGAGCGUAGCUGCUAAGCAGCUGCGAGAGCCCUAUUAUUCCCCAAGUGGUUUUUCUUUGUUUCUUUCUUUCUUUAGGGCCCGAGCGUAGCUGCUAAGCAGCUGCGAGAGCCCUAUUAUUCCCCAAGUGGUUUUUCUUUGUUUCUUUCUUUCUUCUUUUUCCUCCCCUUUGAACUGGAAAAUGGCCCACUUCCCACUGGCGAAAACUCAUGAAAUUUGGCAGGAUGAUCGGGCCUGGUGAAAAAUUUGAUAUUCCGAAGUCGCCCAAACAAGAAAAUGCAAAAUGGCUCCAUAGCGCCCCCUAAGGUGAAAAUUCACACUAUUGACUGUCACGCCUUUACGCUUUGUCAUAUUGACACAAAAAUUGACACACACAUGUAUCUCAAUAAGAUCUACAAAAAAGUCAGUGCGGGCGUAUCUGUCAAAUGUACGGUUAAAGGGUUAUUCCGCAUUUUUUUCCGAUCCACACACAUUGGAAUUUCGCUAACUCCUCCGAAGGCUUUCGUUCCACCGGCACCACAUUUGCUCAGGCCAAUCUACACCCCAUGGCCAUUAAAAGUUAUUCAAAUCAUGACGCUGCACCCCACGGUUUAGGUUCUAGGGGGCGCCAAAGAUAACCCUAAAAUCCACAUAUUUAAAAGUCUUAUAACUUUUUAUUUUUGACCUCACUGGCCUCCAAGUUUUCUAGGAUGAUGCAAUGUCCAGCCAUCAACACAUUUGUGAAGGAAUUUUUAAUCCCCAAAAGAGCGCCCCCCCAUGGCAGGAGAAAAAAGUCCAUUUUUUCUUGUCCCCUAAGGUGAAAAUACACAUUGUUGAGUGUCACGCCUGUAUGCUUUGGCAAAAUGACACAAAAAUUGACACACACAUGUAUCUCAAUAAGAUCUACGAAAAAGUCAAUGCGCGCAUAUCUGUCAAAUGUACGGUUAAAGGGUUAUUCCGCAUUUUUUGCUGAUCCGCACACAUUGGAAUUUCGCUAACUCCUCCGAAGGCUGGCGUUCCACCGGCACCACAUUUGCUCAGGCCAAUCUACACCCCAUGGCCAUUCAAAGUUAUUCAAAUCAUGACGCUGCACCCCACGGUUUAGGUUCUAGGGGGCGCCAAAGAUAACCCUAAAAUCCACAUAUUUCAAAGUCUUAUAACUUUUUAUUUUUGUCCUCACUGGCCUCCAAGUUUUCUAGGAUGAUGCAAUGUCCAGCCAUCAACACAUUUGUGAAGGAAUUUUUACUCCCCAAAAGAGCGCCCCCCCAUGGCAGGAGAAAAAAGUCCAUUUUUUCUUGUCCCCUAAGGUGAAAAUACACAUUGUUGAGUGUCACGCCUAUACGCUUUGUCAAAAUGACACAAAAAUUGACACACACAUGUAACUCAAUAAGAUCUACGAAAAAGUCAAUGCGCGCGUAUCUGUCAAAUGUACGGUUAAAGGGUUAUUCCGCAUUUUUUGCCGAUCCGCACACAUUGGAAUGUGGCUAACUCCUCCGAAGGCUUUCGUUCCACCGGCACCACAUUUGCUCAGGCCAAUCUACACCCCAUGGCCAUUAAAAGUUAUUCAAAUCAUGACGCUGCACCCCACGGUUUAGGUUCUAGGGGGCGCCAAAGAUAACCCUAAAAUCCACAUAUUUAAAAGUCUUAUAACUUUUUAUUUUUGUCCUCACUGGCCUCCAAGUUUUCUAGGAUGAUGCAAUGUCCAGCCAUCAACACAUUUGUGAAGGAAUUUUUACUCCCCAAAAGAGCGCCCCCCCAUGGCAGGAGAAAAAAGUCCAUUUUUUCUUGUCCCCUAAGGUCAAAAUUCACAUUGUUGAGUGUGACACCUGUACGCUUUGUCAUAUUGACACAAAAUUUGACAAUCACGUGCCUUGCCUGGUAUCAUUUUUUUCAAAUUCACACACAAAACAUAAAAUCCGAGUGGAAAAAAGUAACAUUUUUACUGUGAAAACCACAAAUAUGUGUGAUGAACUGUUUUUAAAACUUAAACUUCAAAUAAAAAUUGUAAACUUCAAAACAUAUGCAAAUUUUUAACAAAGAACAUAGUGAUUUACCUCUAUUUACAUCAAAAUGCAGGCAAUGGCCCAGGCGUUCUUUGUAAAAUUAUUUACAAAACACUGUAUAGUCUCACAAAUGUCACUUUUUAUUUAUGCCACUACAAAAAAACAUGAUGUAAAUGAUGCAUGAUGUAAAACAUGAUGUAAAAAACUUGCGUAGAUCCUCCUCUAUGUCAGUCCAUGUGUAAUUUUUCCAUAAUUCUUUGUUUUUUGCAGCAUUUUUGUUAGUGUAACUGCAGAUUGUGCUGACAGUGUCUAUGGCAAAAAAAAAAAAAAACUGAAAAUGCCUCAACAUGAACUCCUGGUGGUCUCUGAGGGUGAAACCUGCUAACUGCUGCAGCUCUCUCAGCUCUAGUCUCCCAUGCAGAGCUCGGAGCGCAUGUGUGGCUCUGCACCCUUAGCAGCGUUGCUAACUCCUCAGUAAGGAAAGCCUGCUUCAUGUCAGAGUCUCUAAACUCCAGAGGAAGUCGAUAAAAUUCCCUUUCUUUCUAAAAAAAAGUCGUUAGGGGGUCUGAAAAGUCAUUGAAUCUAACAACAAAGUCGCUAGGUUUGCAACUACGUUUCCCAGACUGCAUCCCUGCUGAGAGUUCCUCCCUCCCUUCUCAUAUUGCAGGAAGAACGUAAGCGCCCGCCCCUUGUCAAUCAGUCACCAUAUAAUUUUGGAUUGGUUGUUGUGGUGAAGUUUUCCACCAAUAGGAGAGAUGUUGUGGUGUGUUUUUUUUUUCUUUUGGCAUGCCUUUUCCGCCUGUAAGAGCUGUCGCUAAUGUCUGCAUGCUAUGUUUUCCUGUCUCAUACAGCGUGAUCGAGCGCCGAACGUGAUCAAAAUAAGCAGAAAAAAAGUAUCGCGGACAUAAUUUAUCAUAACUCUGGUUUUAUUUGGCCUAUCAACACAAUUUAAAAACUGGUAUAUAGUUUGAGGUCCUCACUUUUGAGAUAAGUUGAAACGGAGGGUGAACGAGGCUCCGUCUUGCAGCUACAUCCGGUUAAAUAUGUCAUGUGACUUGAACGCUGGGGAGCGUCAAUCGACUGCAGAGCCAGCAGACAAAGUAGUUAUGCCACUGAGAGGCACACAUUUGUCAUAUGCUAUAAUCCUAACAUAUUUUAAUGCUUUUUCUAUUUAAACCUAAUGGAUCUAAGGUUUGACCUUCAAAAUUUAGGAAGAAUAUUUUUUGCAGUAAUGACCCCUUAAACAACCAGAGGUCCUUUCCUAAAGUUUAUGGAAAUUUUAGUGAAGGCCUUGGUUUCUUUCCUUGCAAAAUGUAUAGAAAUAAUAAAGCUAAAUACCAUAAAAUGGUCUUGGCGUAUUAGCAGUGAUAUAAAAUAGUGGUUUGAAUAUGAAUGAACAACAAAAAAAAACAUCAACAGAGCCUUUUUGAGUUGGGAUUCUUUCAUUAUCACACAAAAACAGACAUAGACAGACAUCUAAAGGGUAAGGGAAUGAUCAGCCCUCCUAACUCUCAGAUGAAUCUUCAAAAUUCACCGCAGAAAUAUGCUUAUUAUUCUUCUCAGAGUACUGCAAAAUAUAUACACACACACAGACACAGACACACACACACACACACACACACACAGACAGACACACUCAGAGUCUGUUUUUUAGCACCUGCAAAAACAUGCUAUUUACAUAUUUGACAAGAAUGCAGAGGCUCCUUUUGCCCCUGAAAAAAAUCAAAUUUCAAACACAACUUGACUGCUCAUUUCUCCAAAAGACAACCAUGAAGCUCCAUCCAAACCUGAAGCAGGCAGUUGGUGCAUGUGUACAGUAACCUGAGGGGAGUGAGGUGACUGCUUCUGAGGAGAACAUGAGCAGUGAAGAUUCACCUUGGAGCUAGAACAGGGACGUGCACAUGAUUAUACAGGGGCAGGGGCUCAAGUUUUUUCCAGUCAUUUAUACAAUAUGGAAAUUAAUGUGAAAUUAAAAAACAAAGUAUUAAUAGAAAGGUAAUGACUGUCCUGUGUAGAUGACAGUGAUAUCCAAUAGGCUAGGCACUCACGAGGCUGGCUGUGGCAAGUGUAAGUGAAAGCAACACGCACUGGCAGGAAGAACAGCAAACGCCGAUGAAGGAAAAGGGUCUUUGCAGUGAUGGGCGUUACCAGAGAGGGCGAUGGCCAGAGGACACGAAUGGGACGGGGAGGCAGCGCGUUGGGGGGAGGCAGCGCAUUGGGGGGGGGGCGGCGCGACACGGCUCGGGCCCGCCAGUGCCCCAACGGGGCCCUAGUUAGGGCCCGAGCGUAGCUGCUAAGCAGCUGCGAGAGCCCUCUUGUUCCUGUAGUUUCCUUCUUUUGUUAUUAUUAGGGCCCGAGCGUAGCUGCUAAGCAGCUGCGAGAGCCCUAUUAUUCCCCAAGGGGUUUUUCUUUGUUUCUUUUUUCUUUUUCCUCCCCUUUGAACUGGAAAAUGGCCCACUUCCCACUGGCGAAAACUCAUGAAAUUUGGCAGGACGACCGGGCCUGGUGAAAAAUUUGAUAUUCCGAAGUCGCCCAAACAAGAAAAUGCAAAAUGGCUCCAUAGCGCCCCCUAAGGUGAUAAAUUCACCUGACGCCUGUACGCUUUGUCAAAAUGACACAAAAAUUGACACACACAUGUAUCUCAAUAAGAUCUACAAAAAAGUCAGUGCGGGCGUAUCUGUCAAAUGUACGGUUAAAGGGUUAUUGCGCAUUUUUUGCCGAUCCGCACACAUUGGAAUUUCGCUAACUCCUCCGAAGGCUUUCGUUCCACCGGCACCACAUUUGCUCAGGCCAAUCUACACCCCAUGGCCAUUAAAAGUUAUUCAAAUCAUGACGCUGCACCCCACGGUUUAGGUUCUAGGGGGCGCCAAAGAUAACACUAAAAUCCACAUAUUUCAAAGUCUUAUAACUUUUUAUUUUUGUCCUCACUGGCCUCCAAGUUUUCUAGGAUGAUGCAAUGUCCAGCCAUCAACACAUUUGUGAAGGAAUUUUUACUCCCCAAAAGAGCGCCCCCCCAUGGCAGGAGAAAAAAGUCCAUUUUUUCUUGUCCCCUAAGGUGAAAAUACACAUUGUUGAGUGUCACGCCUGUACGCUUUGUCAAAAUGACACAAAAAUUGACACACACAUGUAUCUCAAUAAGAUCUACAAAAAAGUCAAUGGGCGCGUAUCUGUCAAAUGUACGGUUAAAGGGUUAUUCCGCAUUUUUUGCCGAUUCGCACACAUUGGAAUUUCGCUAACUCCUCCGAAGGCUUUCGUUCCACCGGCACCACAUUUGCUCAGGCCAAAUUACACCCCAUGGCCAUUAAAAGUUAUUCAAAUCAUGACGCUGCACCCCACGGUUUACGUUCUAGGGGGCGCCAAAGAUAACCCAAAAAUCCAAAUUUUUAAAAGUCUUAUAACUUUUUAUUUUUGUCCUCACUGGCCUCCAAGUUUUCUAGGAUGAUGCAAUGUCCAGCCAUCAACACAUUUGUGAAGGAAUUUUUACUCCCUAAAAGAGCGCCCCCCAUGGCAGGAGAAAAAAGUCCAUUUUUUCUUGUCCCCUAAGGUGAAAAUACACAUUGUUGACUGUCACGCCUGUACGCUUUGGCAAAAUGACACAAAAAUUGACAAUCAUGUGUAUCUCAAUUAGAUCUACGAAAAAGUCAAGAGCGCGUAUCUGUAUAAUGUACGGUAAAAGGGCUAUUUUGCAUUUUUUGCCGAUUCGCACAUAUUGGAAUUUCGCUAACUCCUCCUAAGGCUUUCGUCCCACUGACACCAAAUUUGCUCAGGCCAAUCUACACUCCAUGGCCAUUCAAAGUUGUAAAAAUCAUGACGCGGCACCCCACGGUUUACGUUUUAGGGGGCGCCAAAGAUGACCCAAAUAUACAUUACAGUAGACAAAGUAGUUUUGCCCACUGAGUGGCGCCAAAGGGACUUGUCUGUGGAGUCUGUGAGUCACUAUUGGCCGUUUUUGACUACUUUAGAUUUUACCUUUAUAUUUCCUCUUACAAAAUUUUUACCUUGCCUUGCCUGGUAUCAUUGUUUUCAGCACAACCUCACCUGUGUCAAUUUACAGUUAUUUUAUCAUUUUGACAUACUAUAUUUACACAUUGGACCCAAAUUCACACACAAAACAUAAAAUCCGAGUGGAAAAAAGUAACGUUUUUACUGUGAAAACCACAAAUAUGUGUGAUGAACUGUUUUUAAAACUUAAACUUCAAAUAAAAAUUGUAAACUUCAAAACAUAUGCACAUUUUUAACAAAGAACAUAGUAAUUUACCUCUAUUUACAUCAAAAUGCAGGCAAUGGCCCAGGCGUUCUUUGUAAAAUUAUUUACAAAACACUGUAUAGUCUCACAAAUGUCACUUUUUAUUUAUGCCACUACAAAAAAACAUGAUGUAAAUGAUGCAUGAUGUAAAACAUGAUGUAAAAAACUUGUGUAGAUCCUCCUCUAUGUCAGUCCAUGUGUAAUUUUUCCAUAAUUCUUUGUUUUUUGCAGCAUUUUUGUUAGUGUAACUGCAGAUUGUGCUGACAGUGUCUAUGGCAAAAAAAAAAAAAAAACUGAAAAUGCCUCAACAUGAACCCCUGGUGGUCUCUGAGGGUGAAACCUGCUAACUGCUGCAGCUCUGUCAGCUUCAGUCUCCCAUGCAGAGCUCGGAGCGCAUGUGUGGCUCUGCACCCUUAGCAGCGUUGCUAACUCCUCAGUAAGGAAAGCCUGCUUCAUGUCAGAGUCUCUAAACUCCAGAAGAAGUCGAUAAAAGUCACUUUCUUUCUAAAAAAACGUCGUUAGGGGGUCUGAAAAGUCAUUGAAUCUAACAACAAAGUCGCUAGGUUUGCAACUACGUGUCCCAGACUGCAUCCCUGCUGAGAGUCCCUCCCUCCCUUCUCAUAUUGCAGGAAGAACGUAAGCGCCCGCCCCUUGUCAAUCAGUCACCAUAUAAUUUUGGAUUGGUUGUUGUGGUGAAGUUUUCCACCAAUAGGAGAGAUGUUGUGGUGUGUUUUUUUUUUCCUUUGGCAAGCCUUUUCCGCCUGUAAGAGCUGUCGCUAAUGUCUGCAUGCUAUGUUUUCCUGUCUCAUACAGCGCGAUCGAGCGCCGAACGUGAUCAAAAUAAGCAGAAAACAAGUAUCGCGGACAUAAUUUAUCAUAACUCUGGUUUUAUUUGGCCUAUCAACACAAUUUAAAAACUGGUAUAUAGGUUGAGGUCCUCACUUUUGAGAUAAGUUGAAACGGAGAGUCAACGAGGCUCCGUCUUGCAGCUACAUCCGGUUAAAUAUGUCAUGUGACUUGAACACACACACACACACACACACAGACACACACACACACGCACACACACACACUCAGAGUCUGGUUUUUAGCACCUGCAAAAACAUGCUAUUUACAUAUUUGACAAGAAUGCAGAGGCUCCUUUUGCCCCUGAAAAAAAUCAAAUUUCAAACACAACUUGACUGGUCAUUUCUCCAAAAGACAACCAUGAAGCUCCAUCCAAACCUGAAGCAGGCAGUUGGUGCAUGUGUACAGUAACCUGAGGGGAGUGAGGUGACUGCUUCUGAGGAGAACAUGAGCAGUGAAGAUUCACCUUAGAGCUAGAACAGAGACGUGCACAUGAUUAUACAGGGGCAGGGGCUCAAGUUUUUUCCAGUUGUUUAUACAAUAUGGAAAUUAAUGUGAAAUUAAAAAACAAAGUAUUAAUAGAAAGGUAAUGACUGUCCUGUGUAGGUGACAGUGAUAUCCAAUAGGCUAGGCACUCACGAGGCUGGCUGUGGCAAGUGUAAGUGAAAGCAACACGCACUGGCAGGAAGAACAGCAAACGCCGAUGAAGGAAAAGGGUCUUUGCAGUGAUGGGCGUUACCAGAGAGGGCGAUGGCCAGAGGACACAAAUGGGACGGGGAGGCAGCGCGUUGGGGGGGGGACGCGACACAGCUCGGGCCCGCCAGUGCCCCAACGGGGUCCUAGUUAUUAUUAUUAUUAUUUUUCCUCCCCUUUGAACUGGAAAAUGGCCCACUUCCCACUGGCGAAAACUCAUGAAAUUUGGCAGGACGACCGGGCCUGGUGAAAAAUUUGAUAUUCCGAAGUCGCCCAAACAAGAAAAUGCAAAAUGGCUCCAUAGCGCCCCCUAAGGUGAAAAUUCACACUAUUCACUGUCACGCCGGUACGCUUUGUCAAAAUGACACAAAAAUUGACACACACAUGUAUCUCAAUAAGAUCUACAAAAAAGUCAGUGCGGGCGUAUCUGUCAAAUGUACGGUUAAAGGGUUAUUUCGCAUUUUUUGCCGAUCCGCACACAUUGGAAUUUCGCUAACUCCUCCGAAGGCUUUCUUUCCACCGGCACCACAUUUGCUCAGGCCAAUCUACACCCCAUGGCCAUUAAAAGUUAUUCAAAUCAUGACGCUGCACCCCACGGUUUAGGUUCUAGGGGGCGCCAAAGAUAACCCUAAAAUCCACAUAUUUAAAAGUCUUAUAACUUUUUAUUUUUGCCCUCACUGGCCUCCAAGUUUUCUCGGAUGAUGCAAUGUCCAGCCAUCAACACAUUUGUGAAGGAAUUUUUACUCCCCAAAAGAGCGCCCCCCAUGGCCGGAGAAAAAAGUCAAUUUUUUCUUGUCCCCUAAGGUGAAAAUACACAUUGUUGAGUGUCACGCCUGUACGCUUUGUCAUAUUGACACAAAAUUUGACACACACAUGUAUCUCAAUAAGAUCUACGAAAAAGUCAAUGCGCGCGUAUCUGUCAAAUGUACGGUUAAAGGGUUAUUCCGCAUUUUUUGCUGAUCCGCACACAUUGGAAUUUCGCUAACUCCUCCUAAGGCUGGCGUUCCACCGGCACCACAUUUGCUCAGGCCAAUCUACACCCCAUGGCCAUUAAAAGUUAUUCAAAUCAUGAUGCUGCACCCCACGGUUUAGGUUCUAGGGGGCGCCAAAGAUAACCCUAAAAUCCACAUAUUUCAAAGUCUUAUAACUUUUUAUUUUUGUCCUCACUGGCCUCCAAGUUUUCUAGGAUGAUGCAAUGUCCAGCCAUCAACACAUUUGUGAAGGAAUUUUUACUCCCCAAAAGAGCGCCCCCCCCAUGGCAGGAGAAAAAAGUCAAUUUUUUCUUGUCCCGUAAGGUGAAAAUUCACAUUGUUGAGUGUGACACCUGUACGCUUUGUCAUAUUGACACAAAAUUUGACAAUCACGUGUAUCUCAAUAAGAUCUACGAAAAAGUCAAUGGGUGCGUAUCUGUCAAAUGUAUGGUUAGAGGGCUAUUUUGCAUUUUUUGCCGAUUCGCACACAUUGGAAUGUGGCUAACUCCUCCUAAGGCUUUCGUCCCACUGAAACCAAAUUUGCUCAGGCCAAUCUAUACCCCAUGGCCAUUCAAAGUUGUAAAAAUCAUGACGCUGCACCCCACGGUUUACGUUCUAGGGGGCGCCAAAGAUGACCAAAAAAUCCACAUUCUUAAAAGAAUCCACAUUCUCCCCCCCCAUGGCAGGAGAAAAAGUCAAGUUUUUCCUGCCCAUCGCUCAAUGGCUCAAUCGCAUCGCUCUCCAGGCAACACCGUAACGAGGAGCAACCUGCCAUUUGGAUAUAUCCCAGCUGUGUUUGUGCCCUCACUCAUGGUCCAGACUUUUUUCAAAUAGGACAUGAAGUUUGUCUGCAGCGAGUGUUUUGGUAGAAACUGCGCCUCCCAUUCAUUAUAAUGGGAAAUGACCACAGACAAGUGCGCACACCAUCUUUGGACCUUGAGUGUGACGCGAUCGGGAGGGGGAGGCGGUCGCGCUGGGGGCGGCGCAACGCGGCUCGGGCCCGACAGUGCCCCACCGGGGUCCUAGUUAGGGCCCGAGCCAGCUGCAGAGCAGCCAGGCGUAGGCCCUAUUAUUCCCCAAGUGGUUUUUUAGGGCCCGAGCCAGCUGCAGAGCAGCCGGGCGUAGGCCCUGUUAUUCCUGUAGGGGUUUUUCUUUGUUUCUUUCUUUCUUCUUUUUCCUCCCCUUUGAACUGGAAAAUGGCCCACUUCCCACUGGCGAAAACUCAGGAAAUUUGGCAGGACGACCGGGCCUGGUGAAAAAUUUGAUAUUCCGAAGUCGCCCAAACAAGAAAAUGCAAAAUGGCUCCAUAGCGCCCCCUAAGGUGAAAAUUCACACUAUUGACUGUCACGCCUGUACGCUUUGUCAAAAUGACACAAAAAUUGACACACACAUGUAUCUCAAUAAGAUCUACAAAAAAGUCAGUGCGGGCGUAUCUGUCAAAUGUACGGUUAAAGGGUUAUUUCGCAUUUUUUGCCGAUCCGCACACAUUGGAAUUUCGCUAACUCCUCCGAAGGCUUUCGUUCCACCGGCACCACAUUUGCUCAGGCCAAUCUACACCCCAUGGCCAUUAAAAGUUAUUCAAAUCAUGACGCUGCACCCCACGGUUUAGGUUCUAGGGGGCGCCAAAGAUAACCCUAAAAUCCACAUUUUUAAAAGUCUUAUAACUUUUUAUUUUUGCCCUCACUGGCCUCCAAGUUUUCUAGGAUGAUGCAAUGUCCAGCCAUCAACACAUUUGUGAAGGAAUUUUUACUCCCCAAAAGAGCGCCCCCCCAUGGCAGGAGAAAAAAGUCAAUUUUUUUCUUGUCCCCUAAGGUGAAAAUACACAUUGUUGAGUGUCACGCCUGUACGCUUUGUCAAAAUGACACAAAAAUUGACACACACAUGUAUCUCAAUAAGAUCUACAAAAAAGUCCAUGCGCGCGUAUCUGUCUAAUGUACGGUUAAAGGGUUAUUCCGCAUUUUUUGCCGAUUCGCACACAUUGGAAUUUCGCUAACUCCUCCGAAGGCUUUCGUUCCACCGGCACCACAUUUGCUCAGGCCAAAUUACACCCCAUGGCCAUUAAAAGUUAUUCAAAUCAUGACGCUGCACCCCACGGUUUACGUUCUAGGGGGCGCCAAAGAUAACCCAAAAAUCCACAUUUUUAAAAGUCUUAUAACUUUUUAUUUUUGUCCUCACUGGCCUCCAAGUUUUCUAGGAUGAUGCAAUGUCCAGCCAUCAACACAUUUGUGAAGAAAUUUUUACUCCCCAAAAGAGCGCCCCCCCAUGGCAGGAGAAAAAAGUCCAUUUUUUCUUGUCCCCUAAGGUGAAAAUACACAUUGUUGACUGUCACGCCUGUACGCUUUGGCAAAAUGACACAAAAAUUGACAAUCAUGUGUAUCUCAAUUAGAUCUACGAAAAAGUCAAAGAGCGCGUAUCUGUAUAAUGUACGGUAAAAGGGCUAUUUUGCAUUUUUUGCCGAUUCGCACACAUUGGAAUUUCGCUAACUCCUCCUAAGGCUUUCGUCCCACUGACACCAAAUUUGCUCAGGCCAAUCUACACUCCAUGGCCAUUCAAAGUUGUAAAAAUCAUGACGCUGCACCCCACGGUUUACGUUUUAGGGGGCGCCAAAGAUGACCCAAAUAUACAUUACAGUAGACAAAGUAGUUUUGCCCACUGAGUGGCGCCAAAGGGACUUGUCUGUGGAGUCUGUGAGUCACUAUUGGCCGUUUUUGACUACUUUAGAUUUUACCUUUAUAUUUCCUCUUACAAAAUUUUUACCUUGCCUUGCCUGGUAUCAUUUUUUUCAGCACAACCUCACCUGUGUCAAUUUACAGUUAUUUUAUCAUUUUGACAUACUAUAUUUACACAUUGGACCCAAAUUCACACACAAAACAUAAAAUCCGAGUGGAAAAAAGUAACGUUUUUACUGUGAAAACCACAAAUAUGUGUGAUGAACUGUUUUUAAAACUUAAACUUCAAAUAAAAAUUGUAAACUUCAAAACAUAUGCAAAUUUUUAACAAAGAACAUAGUAAUUUACCUCUAUUUACAUCAAAAUGCAGGCAAUGGCCCAGGUGUUCUUUGUAAAAUUAUUUACAAAACACUGUAUAGUCCCACAAAUGUCACUUUUUAUUUAUGCCACUACCAAAAAACAUGAUGUAAAUGAUGCAUGAUGUAAAACAUGAUGUAAAAAACAUGUGUAGAUCCUCCUCUAUGUUAGUCCAUGUGUAAUUUUUCCAUAAUUCUUUGUUUUUUGCAGCAUUUUUGUUAGUGUAACUGCAGAUUGUGCUGACAGUGUCUAUGGCAAAAAAAAAAAAAAAAACUGAAAAUGCCUCAACAUGAACCCCUGGUGGUCUCUGAGGGUGAAACCUGCUAACUGCUGCAGCUCUGUCAGCUUCAGUCUCCCAUGCAGAGCUCGGAGCGCAUGUGUGGCUCUGCACCCUUAGCAGCGUUGCUAACUCCUCAGUAAGGAAAGCCUGCUUCAUGUCAGAGUCUCUAAACUCCAGAAGAAGUCGAUAAAAGUCACUUUCUUUCUAAAAAAAAGUCGUUAGGGGGUCUGAAAAGUCAUUGAAUCUAACAACAAAGUCGCUAGGUUUGCAACUACGUGUCCCAGACUGCAUCCCUGCUGAGAGUCCCUCCCUCCCUUCUCAUAUUGCAGGAAGAACGUAAGUUCCCGCCCCUUGUCAAUCAGUCACCAUAUAAUUUUGGAUUGGUUGUUGUGGUGAAGUUUUCCACCAAUAGGAGAGAUGUUGUGGUGUGUUUUUUUUUUUCCUUUGGCAAGCCUUUUCCGCCUGUAAGACCUGUCGCUAAUGUCUGCAUGCUAUGUUUUCCUGUCUCAUACAACGCGAUCGAGCGCCGAACGUGAUCAAAAUAAGCAGAAAACAAGUAUCGUGGACAUAAUUUAUCAUAACUCUGGUUUUAUUUGGCCUAUCAACACAAUUUAAAAACUGGUAUAUAGGUUGAGGUCCUCACUUUUGAGAUAAAUUGAAUCGGAGAGUCAACGAGGCUCCGUCUUGCAGCUACAUCCGGUUAAAUAUGUCAUGUGACUUGAACGCACACACACACACACACACACACACACACACACACACACACACACAGACACACACACACGCACACACACACACUCAGAGUCUGGUUUUUAGCACCUGCAAAAACAUGCUAGUUACAUAUUUGACAAGAAUGCAGAGGCUCCUUUUGCCCCUGAAAAAAAUCAAAUUUCAAACACAACUUGACUGGUCAUUUCUCCAAAAGACAACCAUGAAGCUCCAUCCAAACCUGAAGCGGGCAGUUGGUGCAUGUGUACAGUAACCUGAGGGGAGUGAGGUGACUGCUUCUGAGGAGAACAUGAGCAGUGAAGAUUCACCUUAGAGCUAGAACAGAGACGUGCACAUGAUUAUACAGGGGCAGGGGCUCAAGUUUUUUCCAGUUGUUUAUACAAUAUGGAAAUUAAUGUGAAAUUAAAAAACAAAGUAUUAAUAGAAAGGUAAUGACUGUCCUGUGUAGGUGACAGUGAUAUCCAAUAGGCUAGGCACUCACGAGGCUGGCUGUGGCAAGUGUAAGUGAAAGCAACACGCACUGGCAGGAAGAACAGCAAACGCCGAUGAAGGAAAAGGGUCUUUGCAGUGAUGGGCGUUACCAGAGAGGGCGAUGGCCAGAGGACACAAAUGGGACGGGGAGGCAGCGCGUUGGGGGGGGGACGCGACACAGCUCGGGCCCGCCAGUGCCCCAACGGGGUCCUAGUCUUUGUUUCUUUCUUUCUUUUUUCUUUUUCCUCCCCUUUGAACUGGAAAAUGGCCCACUUCCCACUGGCGAAAACUCAUGAAAUUUGGCAGGACGACCGGGCCUGGUGAAAAAUUCGAUAUUCUGAAGUCGCCAAAACAAUAAAAUGCAAAAUGGCUCCAUAGCGCCCCCUAAGGUGGAAAUUCACACUAUUGACUGUCACGCCUGUACGCUUUGUCAUAUUGACACAAAAAUUGACACACACAUGUAUCUCAAUAAGAUCUACAAAAAAGUCAGUGCGGCCGUAUCUGUCAAAAUUACGGUUAAAGGGUUAUUUCGCAUUUUUUGCCGAUCCGCACACAUUGGAAUUUCGCUAACUCCUCCGAAGGCUUUCGUUCCACCGGCACCACAUUUGCUCAGGCCAAUCUACACCCCGUGGCCAUUAAAAGUUAUCAAAAUCAUGACGCUGCACCCCAAGGUUUAGGUUCUAGGGGGCGCCAAAGAUAACACUAAAAUCCACAUAUUUAAAAGUCUUAUAACUUUUUAUUUUUGUCCUCACUGGCCUCCAAGUUUUCUAGGAUGAUGCAAUGUCCAGCCAUCAACACAUUUGUGAAGGAAUUUUUACUCCCCAAAAGAGCGCCCCCCCAUGGCAGGAGAAAAAAGUCCAUUUUUUCUUGUCCCCUAAGGUGAAAAUACACAUUGUUGAGUGUCACGCCUAUACGCUUUGUCAAAAUGACACAAAAAUUGACACACACAUGUAACUCAAUAAGAUCUACAAAAAAGUCCAUGCGCGCGUAUCUGUCAAAUGUACAGUUAAAGGGUUAUUCCGCAUUUUUUGCCGAUCCGCACACAUUGGAAUUUCGCUAACUCCUCCGAAGGCUUUCGUUCCACCGGCACCACAUUUGCUCAGGCCAAUCUACACCCCAUGGCCAUUAAAAGUUAUUCAAAUCAUGAUGCUGCACCCCAUGGUUUAGGUUCUAGGGGGCGCCAAAAAUAACCCAAAAAUCCACAUUCUUAAAUGUUUUAUAACUUUUUAUUUUUGUCCUCACUGGCCUCCAAGUUUUCUAGGAUGAUGCAAUGUCCAGCCAUCAACACAUUUGUGAAGGAAUUUUUACUCCCCAAAAGAGCGCCCCCCCAUGGUAGGAGAAAAAAGUCAAUUUUUUCUUGUCCCCUUACAUAAAAAUACACAUUGUUGAGUGUCACGCCUGAACGCUUUGUCAUAUUGACACAAAAAUUGACAAUCAUGUGUAUCUCAAUUAGAUCUACGAAAAAGUCAAAGAGCGCGUAUCUGUAUAAUGUACGGUUAAAGGGCUAUUUUGCAUUUUUUGCCGAUUCGCACACAUUGGAAUGUGGCUAUCUCCUCCUAAGGCUUUCGUCCCACCGAUACCAAAUUUGCUCAGGGCAAUCUACACCCCAUGCCCAUUCAAAGUUGUAAAAAUCAUGACGCUGCACCCCACGGUUUACGUUCUAGCGGGCGCCAAAGAUGACCCAAAAAUCCACAUUCUUAAAAGUCAUUUUGGCCACUGCAGGAGUACAGAGUACUGCAGUUCUAGGGGGCGCCAAAGAUGACCCAAAAAUCCACAUUCUUAAAAGUCUUUUUGGCCACUGCAGGAGUACAGAGUACUGCAGGAUACACACACAUAUACACACACGCCAACAUACACACACACACACACACACACACACACACACACACACACACACACACACUCAGAGUCUGUUUUUUAGCACCUGCAAAAACAUGCUGUUUACAUAUUUGACAAGAAUGCAGAGGCUUCCUUUUGCCCCUGAAAAAAAUCAAAUUUCAAACACAACUUGACUGUUCAUUUCUCCAAAAGACAACCAUGAAGCUCCAUUUCAAACCUGAAGCAGAUAGUUGGUGCAUGUGUACAGUAACCUGAGGGGAGUGAGGUGACUAUUUCUGAGGAGAACAUGAGCAGUGAAGAUUCACCUUGGAGCUAGAACAGGGACGUGCACAUGAUUAUACAGGGGCAGGGGCUCAAGUUUUUUCCAGUCAUUUAUACAAUAUGGAAAUUAAUGUGAAAUUAAACCACAAAUAUGUGUGAUGAACUGUUUUUAAAACUUAAACUUCAAAUAAAAAUUGUAAACUUCAAAACAUAUGCAAAUUUUUAACAAAGAACAUAGUAAUUUACCUCUAUUUACAUCAAAAUGCAGGCAAUGGCCCAGGCGUUCUUUGUAAAAUUAUUUACAAAACACUGUAUAGUCUCACAAAUGUCACUUUUUAUUUAUGCCACUACAAAAAAACAUGAUGUAAAUGAUGCAUGAUGUAAAACAUGAUGUAAAAAACUUGUGUAGAUCCUCCUCUAUGUCAGUCCAUGUGUAAUUUUUCCAUAAUUCUUUGUUUUUUGCAGCAUUUUUGUUAGUGUAACUGCAGAUUGUGCUGACAGUGUCUAUGGCAAAAAAAAAAAAAAAUUAAAAUGCCUCAACAUGAACCCCUGGUGGUCUCUGAGGGUGAAACCUGCUAACUGCUGCAGCUCUGUCAGCUUCAGUCUCCCAUGCAGAGCUCGGAGCGCAUGUGUGGCUCUGCACCCUUAGCAGCGUUGCUAACUCCUCAGUAAGGAAAGCCUGCUUCAUGUCAGAGUCUCUAAACUCCAGAAGAAGUCGAUAAAAGUCCCUUUCUUUCUAAAAAAAAGUCGUUAGGGGGUCUGAAAAGUCAUUGAAUCUAACAACAAAGUCGCUAGGUUUGCAACUACGUGUCCCAGACUGCAUCCCUGCUGAGAGUCCCUCCCUCCCUUCUCAUGUUGCAGGAAGAACGUAAGCGCCCGCCCCUUGUCAAUCAGUCACCAUAUAAUUUUGGAUUGGUUGUUGUGGUGAAGUUUUCCACCAAUAGGAGAGAUGUUGUGGUGUGUUUUUUUUUUCCUUUGGCAAGCCUUUUCCGCCUGUAAGACCUGUCGCUAAUGUCUGCAUGCUAUGUUUUCCUGUCUCAUACAGCGCGAUCGAGCGCCGAACGUGAUCAAAAUAAGCAGAAAAAAAGUAUCGCGGACAUAAUUUAUCAUAACUCUGGUUUUAUUUGGCCUAUCAACACAAUUUAAAAACUGGUAUAUAGGUUGAGGUCCUCACUUUUGAGAUAAGUUGAAACGGAGAGUCAACGAGGCUCCGUCUUGCAGCUACAUCCGGUUAAAUAUGUCAUGUGACUUGAACGCACACACAGACACACACACACGCACACACACACACACACACACACACACACACACACACACACACACACUCAGAGUCUGGUUUUUAGCACCUGCAAAAACAUGCUAUUUACAUAUUUGACAAGAAUGCAGAGGCUCCUUUUGCCCCUGAAAAAAAUCAAAUUUCAAACACAACUUGACUGGUCAUUUCUCCAAAAGACAACCAUGAAGCUCCAUCCAAACCUGAAGCAGGCAGUUGGUGCAUGUGUACAGUAACCUGAGGGGAGUGAGGUGAGUGCUUCUGAGGAGAACAUGAGCAGUGAAGAUUCACCUUGGAGCUAGAACAGAGACAUGCACAUGAUUAUACAGGGGCAGGGGCUCAAGUUUUUUCCAGUCGUUUAUACAAUAUGGAAAUUAAUGUGAAAUUAAAACACAAAGUAUUAAUAGAAAGGUAAUGACUGUCCUGUGUAGGUGACAGUGAUAUCCAAUAGGCUAGGCACUCACGAGGCUGGCUGUGGCAAGUGUAAGUGAAAGCAACACGCACUGGCAGGAAGAACAGCAAACGCCGAUGAAGGAAAAGGGUCUUUGCAGUGAUGGGCGUUACCAGAGAGGGCGAUGGCCAGAGGACACAAAUGGGACGGGGAGGCAGCACGUUGGGGGGGGGGGGGGGGACGCGACAUGGCUCGGGCCCGCCAGUGCCCCAACGGGGUCCUAGUUAGGGCCCGAGCGUAGCUGCUAAGCAGCUGCGAGAGCCCUCUUGUUCCUGUAGUUUCCUUCUUUUGUUAUUAUUAUUAUUAUUAUUAUUUUUCCUCCCCUUUGAACUGGAAAAUGGCCCACUUCCCACUGGCAAAAACUCAUGAAAUUUGGCAGGACGACCGGGCCUGGUGAAAAAUUUGAUAUUCCGAAGUCGCCCAAACAAGAAAAUGCAAAAUGGCUCCAUAGCGCCCCCUAAGGUGAAAAUUCACACUAUUCACUGUCACGCCUGUACGCUUUGUCAAAAUGACACAAAAAUUGACACACACAUGUAUCUCAAUAAGAUCUACAAAAAAGUCAGUGCGGGCGUAUCUGUCAAAUGUACGGUUAAAGGGUUAUUUUGCAUUUUUUGCCGAUCCGCACACAUUGGAAUUUCGCUAACUCCUCCGAAGGCUUUCGUUCCACCGGCACCACAUUUGCUCAGGCCAAUCUACACCCCAUGGCCAUUAAAAGUUAUUCAAAUCAUGACGCUGCACCCCACGGUUUAGGUUCUAGGGGGCGCCAAAGAUAACCGUAAAAUCCACAUAUUUAAAAGUCUUAUAACUUUUUAUUUUUGUCCCCACUGGCCUCCAAGUUUUCUAGGAUGAUGCAAUGUCCAGCCAUCAACACAUUUGUGAAGGAAUUUUUACUCCCCAAAAGAGCGCCCCCCCAUGGCAGGAGAAAAAAGUCCAUUUUUUCUUGUCCACUAAGGUGAAAAUACACAUUGUUGAGUGCUACGCCUGUAUGUUUUGUCGUAUUGACACAAAAUUUUACAUACACGUGUAUUUCAAUAAGAUCUUCGAAAAAGUCAAUGGCCACGUAUCUGUAAAAUGUACGGUUAAAGGGUUAUUUUGCAUUUUUUGCAGAUUCGCACACAUUGGAAUUUCGCUAACUCCUCCGAAGGCUUUUGUUCCACCGGCACCACAUUUGCUCAGGCCAAUCUACACCCCAUGGCCAUUAAAAGUUAUUCAAAUCAUGACGCUGCACCCCACGGUUUAGGUUCUAGGGGGCGCCAAAGAUAACCCUAAAAUCCACAUAUUUAAAAGUCUUAUAACUUUUUAUUUUUGUCCUCACUGGCCUCCAUGUUUUCUAGGAUGAUGCAAUGUCCAGCCAUCAACACAUUUGUGAAGGAAUUUUUACUCGCCAAAAGAGCGCCCCCCCAUGGCAGGAGAAUAAAGUCAAGUUUUUCCUGUUCAUCAUUCAAUGGCUCAAACGCACUGCUCUCUCGGCAAAAGCGAAAGGAGGAGCAACUUGCCAUUUGGAUAUAUCUUAGCUGUGUUUGUGCCCUCACUCAUGGUCCAGACUUUUUUCAAAUAGGACAUGGAGUUUUUCUGCAGCGAGCGCUUUGGUAGAAACUGCGCCUCCCGUUCAUUAUAAUGGUAAAUGACCACAAACAAGUGCGCACACCAUCUUUGGACCUUGAGUGUGACGCGAUCGGGUGGGGGAGGCGGUCGCGCUGGGGGCGGCGUGACACGGCUCGGGCCCGCCAGUGCCCCAACGGGGCCCUAGUUCUUUCUUUCUUUCUUCUUUUUCCUCCCCUUUGAACUGGAAAAUGGCCCACUUCCCACUGGCGAAAACUCAUGAAAUUUGGCAGGACGACCGGGCCUGGUGAAAAAUUCGAUAUUCUGAAGUCGCCCAAACAAUUAAAUGCAUAAUGGCUCCAUAGCGCCCCCUAAGGUGGAAAUUCACACUAUUGACUGUCACGCCUGUACGCUUUGUCAUAUUGACACAAAAAUUGACACACAUAUGUAUCUCAAUAAGAUCUACAAAAAAGUCAGUGCGGCCGUAUCUGUCAAAUGUACGGUUAAAGGGUUAUUUCGCAUUUUUUUCCGAUCCGCACACAUUGGAAUUUCGCUAACUCCUCCGAAGGCUUUCGUUCCACCGGCACCACAUUUGCUCAGGCCAAUCUACACCCCGUGGCCAUUAAAAGUUAUCAAAAUCAUGACGCUGCACCCCAAGGUUUAGGUUCUAGGGGGCGCCAAAGAUAACACUAAAAUCCACAUAUUUAAAAGUCUUAUAACUUUUUAUUUUUGUCCUCACUGGCCUCCAAGUUUUCUAGGAUGAUGCAAUGUCCAGCCAUCAACACAUUUGUGAAGGAAUUUUUACUCCCCAAAAGCGCGCCCCCCCAUGACAGGAGAAAAAAGUCCAUUUUUUCUUGUCCCCUAAGGUGAAAAUACAUAUUGUUGAGAUUCACGCCUAUACGCUUUGUCAUAUUGACACAAAAUUUGACAAUCACGUGCCUUGCCUGGUAUCAUUUUUUUUCAGCACAACCUCACCUGUGCGAAUUUACAGUUAUUUUAUCAUGUUGACAUACUGAAUUUACACAAUGGACCCAAAUUCACACACAAAACAUAAAAUCCGAGUGGAAAAAAGUAACAUUUUUACUGUGAAAACCACAAAUAUGUGUGAUGAACUGUUUUUAAAACUUAAACUUCAAAUAAAAAUUGUAAACUUCAAAACAUAUGCAAAUUUUUAACAAAGAACAUAGUGAUUUACCUCUAUUUACAUCAAAAUGCAGGCAAUGGCCCAGGCGUUCUUUGUAAAAUUAUUUACAAAACACUGUAUAGUCUCACAAAUGUCACGUUUUAUUUAUGCCACUACAAAAAAACAUGAUGUAAAUGAUGCAUGAUGUAAAACAUGAUGUAAAAAACUUGUGUAGAUCCUCCUCUAUGUCAGUCCAUGUGUAAUUUUUCCAUAAUUCUUUGUUUUUUGCAGCAUUUUUGUUAGUGUAACUGCAGAUUGUGCUGACAGUGUCUAUGGCACAAAAAAAAAAAAAAAAUUAAAAUGCCUCAACAUGAACCCCUGGUGGUCUCUGAGGGUGAAACCUGCUAACUGCUGCAGCUCUGUCAGCUUCAGUCUCCCAUGCAGAGCUCUGAGCGCAUGUGUGGCUCUGCACCCUUAGCAGCGUUGCUAACUCCUCAGUAAGGAAAGCCUGCUUCAUGUCAGAGUCUCUAAACUCCAGAAGAAGUCGAUAAAAGUCCCUUUCUUUCUAAAAAAAAGUCGUUAGGGGGUCUGAAAAGUCAUUGAAUCUAACAACAAAGUCGCUAGGUUUGCAACUACGUGUCCCAGACUGCAUCCCUGCUGAGAGUCCCUCCCUCCCUUCUCAUGUUGCAGGAAGAACGUAAGCGCCCGCCCCUUGUCAAUCAGUCACCAUAUAAUUUUGGAUUGGUUGUUGUGUUGAAGUUUUCCACCAAUAGGAGAGAUGUUGUGGUGUGUUUUUUUUUUUCUUUUGGCAAGCCUUUUCCGCCUGUAAGACCUGUCGCUAAUGUCUGCAUGCUAUGUUUUCCUGUCUCAUACAGCGCGAUCGAGCGCCGAACGUGAUCAAAAUAAGCAGAAAAAAAGUAUCGCGGACAUAAUUUAUCAUAACUCUGGUUUUAUUUGGCCUAUCAACACAAUUUAAAAACUGGUAUAUAGUUUGAGGUCCUCACUUUUGAGAUAAGUUGAAACGGAGAGUCAACGAGGCUCCGUCUUGCAGCUACAUCCGGUUAAAUAUGUCAUGUGACUUGAACGCACACACAGACACGCACACACGCACACACACACACACACACACACACACACACACACACACACACUCAGAGUCUGGUUUUUAGCACCUGCAAAAACAUGCUAUUUACAUAUUUGACAAGAAUGCAGAGGCUCCUUUUGCCCCUGAAAAAAAUCAAAUUUCAAACACAACUUGACUGGUCAUUUCUCCAAAAGACAACCAUGAAGCUCCAUCCAAACCUGAAGCAGGCAGUUGGUGCAUGUGUACAGUAACCUGAGGGGAGUGAGGUGAGUGCUUCUGAGGAGAACAUGAGCAGUGAAGAUUCACCUUGGAGCUAGAACAGAGACAUGCACAUGAUUAUACAGGGGCAGGGGCUCAAGUUUUUUCCAGUCGUUUAUACAAUAUGGAAAUUAAUGUGAAAUUAAAACACAAAGUAUUAAUAGAAAGGUAAUGACUGUCCUGUGUAGGUGACAGUGAUAUCCAAUAGGCUAGGCACUCACGAGGCUGGCUGUGGCAAGUGUAAGUGAAAGCAACACGCACUGGCAGGAAGAACAGCAAACGCCGAUGAAGGAAAAGGGUCUUUGCAGUGAUGGGCGUUACCAGAGAGGGCGAUGGCCAGAGGACACAAAUGGGACGGGGAGGCAGCACGUUGGGGGGGGGGGGGGGGGGACACGGCUCGGGCCCGCCAGUGCCCCAACGGGGUCCUAGUUAGGGCCCGAGCCAGCUGCAGAGCAGCCGGGCGUAGGCCCUAUUAUUCCCCAAGUGGUUUUUCUUUGUUUCUUUCUUUCUUUCUUUCUUUCUUUAGGGCCCGAGCGUAGCUGCUAAGCAGCUGCGAGAGCCCUCUUGUUCCUGUAGUUUCCUUCUUUUGUUAGGGCCCGAGCCAGCUGCAGAGCAGCCGGGCGUAGGCCCUAUUAUUCCCCAAGUGGUUUUUCUUUGUUUCUUUCUUUCUUUUUUCUUUUUCCUCCCCUUUGAACUGGAAAAUGGCCCACUUCCCACUGGCGAAAACUCAUGAAAUUUGGCAGGACGACCGGGCCUGGUGAAAAAUUUGAUAUUCUGAAGUCGCCAAAACAAUAAAAUGCAAAAUGGCUCCAUAGCGCCCCCUAAGGUGAAAAUUCACACUAUUCACUGUCACGACUGUACGCUUUGUCAAAAUGACACAAAAAUUGACACACAUAUGUAUCUCAAUAAGAUCUACAAAAAAGUCAGUGGGCCGUAUCUGUCAAAAUUACGGUUAAAGGGUUAUUACGCAUUUUUUGCCGAUCUGCACACAUUGGAAUUUCGCUAACUCCUCCGAAGGCUUUCGUUCCACCGGCACCACAUUUGCUCAGGCCAAUCUACACCCCAUGGCCAUUAAAAGUUAUCAAAAUCAUGACGCUGCACCCCAAGGUUUAGGUUCUAGGGGGCGCCAAAGAUAACACUAAAAUCCACAUAUUUAAAAGUCUUAUAACUUUUUAUUUUUGUCCUCACUGGCCUCCAAGUUUUCUAGGAUGAUGCAAUGUCCAGCCAUCAACACAUUUGUGAAGGAAUUUUUACUCCCCAAAAGAGCGCCCCCCCAUGGCAGGAGAAAAAAGUCCAUUUUUUCUUGUCCCCUAAGGUGAAAAUACACAUUGUUGAGUGUCACGCCUAUACGCUUUGUCAAAAUGACACAAAAAUUGACACACACAUGUAUCUCAAUAAGAUCUACGAAAAAGUCAAUGCGCGCGUAUCUGUCAAAUGUACGGUUAAAGGGUUAUUCCGCAUUUUUUGCCAAUCCGCACACAUUGGAAUGUGGCUAACUCCUCCUAAGGCUUUCGUUCCACCGGCACCACAUUUGCUCAGGCCAAUCUACACCCCAUGGCCAUUAAAAGUUAUUCAAAUCAUGACGCUGCACCCCACGGUUUAGGUUCUAGGGGGCGCCAAAGACAACCCUAAAAUCCACAUAUUUAAAAGUCUUAUAACUUUUUAUUUUUGUCCUCACUGGCCUCCAAGUUUUCUAGGAUGAUGCAAUGUCCAGCCAUCAACACAUUUGUGAAGGAAUUUUUACUCCCCAAAAGAGCGCCCCCCCCCAUGGCAGGAGAAAAAAGUCCAUUUUUUCUUGUCCCCUAAGGUGAAAAUACAUAUUGUUGAGAUUCACGCCUAUACGCUUUGUCAUAAUGACACAAAAUUUGACAAUCACGUGCCUUGCCUGGUAUCAUUUUUUUCAGCACAACCUCACCUGUGCGAAUUUACAGUUAUUUUAUCAUGUUGACAUACUGAAUUUACACAAUGGACCCAAAUUCACACACAAAACAUAAAAUCCGAGUGGAAAAAAGUAACAUUUUUACUGUGAAAACCACAAAUAUGUGUGAUGAACUGUUUUUAAAACUUAAACUUCAAAUAAAAAUUGUAAACUUCAAAACAUAUGCAAAUUUUUAACAAAGAACAUAGUGAUUUACCUCUAUUUACAUCAAAAUGCAGGCAAUGGCCCAGGCGUUCUUUGUAAAAUUAUUUACAAAACACUGUAUAGUCUCACAAAUGUCACUUUUUAUUUAUGCCACUACAAAAAAACAUGAUGUAAAUGAUGCAUGAUGUAAAACAUGAUGUAAAAAACUUGUGUAGAUCCUCCUCUAUGUCAGUCCAUGUGUAAUUUUUCCAUAAUUCUUUGUUUUUUGCAGCAUUUUUGUUAGUGUAACUGCAGAUUGUGCUGACAGUGUCUAUGGCACAAAAAAAAAAAAAAAAAUUAAAAUGCCUCAACAUGAACCCCUGGUGGUCUCUGAGGGUGAAACCUGCUAACUGCUGCAGCUCUGUCAGCUUCAGUCUCCCAUGCAGAGCUCUGAGCGCAUGUGUGGCUCUGCACCCUUAGCAGCGUUGCUAACUCCUCAGUAAGGAAAGCCUGCUUCAUGUCAGAGUCUCUAAACUCCAGAAGAAGUCGAUAAAAGUCCCUUUCUUUCUAAAAAAAAGUCGUUAGGGGGUCUGAAAAGUCAUUGAAUCUAACAACAAAGUCGCUAGGUUUGCAACUACGUGUCCCAGACUGCAUCCCUGCUGAGAGUCCCUCCCUCCCUUCUCAUGUUGCAGGAAGAACGUAAGCGCCCUCCCCUUGUCAAUCAGUCACCAUAUAAUUUUGGAUUGGUUGUUGUGGUGAAGUUUUCCACCAAUAGGAGAGAUGUUGUGGUGUGUUUUUUUUUUCUUUUGGCAAGCCUUUUCCGCCUGUAAGACCUGUCGCUAAUGUCUGCAUGCUAUGUUUUCCUGUCUCAUACAGCGCGAUCGAGCGCCGAACGUGAUCAAAAUAAGCAGAAAAAAAGUAUCGCGGACAUAAUUUAUCAUAACUCUGGUUUUAUUUGGCCUAUCAACACAAUUUAAAAACUGGUAUAUAGGUUGAGGUCCUCACUUUUGAGAUAAGUUGAAACGGAGAGUCAACGAGGCUCCGUCUUGCAGCUACAUCCGGUUAAAUAUGUCAUGUGACUUGAACGCACACACAGACACACACACACACGCACACACACACACACACACACACACACACACACACACACACACACACACACUCAGAGUCUGGUUUUUAGCACCUGCAAAAACAUGCUAUUUACAUAUUUGACAAGAAUGCAGAGGCUCCUUUUGCCCCUGAAAAAAAAAUCAAAUUUCAAACACAACUUGACUGGUCAUUUCUCCAAAAGACAACCAUGAAGCUCCAUCCAAACCUGAAGCAGGCAGUUGGUGCAUGUGUACAGUAACCUGAGGGGAGUGAGGUGAGUGCUUCUGAGGAGAACAUGAGCAGUGAAGAUUCACCUUGGAGCUAGAACAGAGACAUGCACAUGAUUAUACAGGGGCAGGGGCUCAAGUUUUUUCCAGUCGUUUAUACAAUAUGGAAAUUAAUGUGAAAUUAAAACACAAAGUAUUAAUAGAAAGGUAAUGACUGUCCUGUGUAGGUGACAGUGAUAUCGAAUAGGCUAGGCACUCACGAGGCUGGCUGUGGCAAGUGUAAGUGAAAGCAACACGCACUGGCAGGAAGAACAGCAAACGCCGAUGAAGGAAAAGGGUCUUUGCAGCGAUGGGCGUUACAAGAGAGGGCGAUGGCCAGAGGACACAAAUGGGACGGGGAGGCAGCACGUUGGGGGGGGGGGGGGGGGGGGGCGACACGGCUCGGGCCCGCCAGUGCCCCAACGGGGUCCUAGUUAUUAGGGCCCGAGCGUAGCUGCUAAGCAGCUGCGAGAGCCCUCUUGUUCCUGAUGGAUUCUUCUUUAGGGCCCGAGCCAGCUGCAGAGCAGCCGGGCGUAGGCCCUAUUAUUCCCCAAGUGGUUUUUCUUUGUUUCUUUCUUUCUUUUUUCUUUUUCCUCCCCUUUGAACUGGAAAAUGGCCCACUUCCCACUGGCGAAAACUCAUGAAAUUUGGCAGGACGACCGGGCCUGGUGAAAAAUUCGAUAUUCUGAAGUCGCCCAAACAAUAAAAUGCAAAAUGGCUCCAUAGCGCCCCCUAAGGUGGAAAUUCACACUAUUGACUGUCACGCCUGUACGCUUUGUCAUAUUGACACAAAAAUUGACACACAUAUGUAUCUCAAUAAGAUCUACAAAAAAGUCAGUGCGGCCGUAUCUGUCAAAAUUACGGUUAAAGGGUUAUUUCGCAUUUUUUGCCGAUCCGCACACAUUGGAAUUUCGCUAACUCCUCCGAAGGCUUUCGUUCCACCGGCACCACAUUUGCUCAGGCCAAUCUACACCCCGUGGCCAUUAAAAGUUAUCAAAAUCAUGACGCUGCACCCCAAGGUUUAGGUUCUAGGGGGCGCCAAAGAUAACACUAAAAUCCACAUAUUUAAAAGUCUUAUAACUUUUUAUUUUUGUCCUCACUGGCCUCCAAGUUUUCUAGGAUGAUGCAAUGUCCAGCCAUCAACACAUUUGUGAAGGAAUUUUUACUCCCCAAAAGAGCGCCCCCCCAUGGCAGGAGAAAAAAGUCCAUUUUUUCUUGUCCCCUAAGGUGAAAAUACACAUUGUUGAGUGUCACGCCUAUACGCUUUGUCAAAAUGACACAAAAAUUGACACACACAUGUAACUCAAUAAGAUCUACGAAAAAGUCAAUGCGCGCGUAUCUGUCAAAUGUACGGUUAAAGGGUUAUUUUGCAUUUUUUGCCGAUCCACACACAUUGGAAUUUCGCUAACUCCUCCGAAGGCUUUCGUUCCACCGGCACCACAUUUGCUCAGGCCAAUCUACACCCCGUGGCCAUUAAAAGUUAUCAAAAUCAUGACGCUGCACCCCACGGUUUAGGUUCUAGGGGGCGCCAAAGAUAACCCUAAAAUCCACAUAUUUAAAAGUCUUAUAACUUUUUAUUUUUGUCCUCACUGGCCUCCAAGUUUUCUAGGAUGAUGCAAUGUCCAGCCAUCAACACAUUUGUGAAGGAAUUUUUACUCCCCAAAAGAGCGCCCCCCCAUGGCAGGAGAAAAAAGUCCAUUUUUUCUUGUCCCCUAAGGUGAAAAUACAUAUUGUUGAGAUUCACGCCUAUACGCUUUGUCAUAUUGACACAAAAUUUGACAAUCACAUGUAUCUCAAUCAGAUCUACGAAAAAGUCUAUGCGCGCGUAUCUGUAAAAUGUACGGUUAAAGGGCUAUUUUGCAUUUUUUGCCGAUUCGCACACAUUGGAAUGUGGCUAACUCCUCCUAAGGCUUUCGUCCCACUGACACCAAAUUUGCUCAGGCCAAUCUACACCCCAUGGCCAUUCAAAGUUGUAAAAAUCAUGACGCUGCACCCCACGGUUUACGUUCUAGGGGGCGCCAAAGAUGACCCAAAUAUCCACAUUCUUAAAAGAAUCCACAUCCCCCCCCAUCCCCCAUCCCCCAUGGCAGGAGAAACAGUCAAGUUUUUCCUGCCCAUCACUCAAUGGCUCAUUCGCAUCACUCUCCCGGCAACACCGUAACGAGGAGCAACUUGCCGUUUGGAUAUAUCCUAGCUGUGUUUGUGCCCUCACUCAUGGUCCAGACUUUUUUCAAAUAGGACAUGUAGUUUGUCUGCAGCGAGUGUUUUGGUAGAAACUGCGCCUCCCAUUCAUUAUAAUGGGAAAUGACCACAGACAAGUGCGCACACCAUCUUUGGACCUUGAGUGUGACGCGAUCGGGAGGGGUAGGCGGUCGCGCUGGGGGCGGCGCAACGCGGCUCGGGCCCGACAGUGCCCCACCGGGGUCCUAGUUUGUUAUUAUUAGGGCCCGAGCGUAGCUGCUAAGCAGCUGCGAGAGCCCUAUUAUUCCCCAAGUGGUUUUUCUUUGUUUCUUUUUUCUUUUUCCUCCCCUUUGAACUGGAAAAUGGCCCACUUCCCACUGGCGAAAACUCAUGAAAUUUGGCAGGACGACCGGGCCUGGUGAAAAAUUUGAUAUUCUGAAGUCGCCCAAACAAUACAAUGCAAAAUGGCUCCAUAGCGCCCCCUAAGGUGAAAAAUUCACCUGACGCCUGUACGCUUUGUCAAAAUGACACAAAAAUUGACACACACAUGUAUCUCAAUAAGAUCUACAAAAAAGUCAGUGCGGGCGUAUCUGUCAAAUGUACGGUUAAAGGGUUAUUUCGCAUUUUUUGCCGAUCCGCACACAUUGGAAUUUCGCUAACUCCUCCGAAGGCUUUCGUUCCACCGGCACCACAUUUGCUCAGGCCAAUCUACACCCCAUGGCCAUUAAAAGUUAUUCAAAUCAUGACGCUGCACCCCACGGUUUAUGUUCUAGGGGGCGCCAAAGAUAACCCUAAAAUCCACAUAUUUCAAAGUCUUAUAACUUUUUAUUUUUGCCCUCACUGGCCUCCAAGUUUUCUAGGAUGAUGCAAUGUCCAGCCAUCAACACAUUUGUGAAGGAAUUUUUACUCCCCAAAAGAGCGCCCCCCCAUGGCAGGAGAAAAAAGUCCAUUUUUUCUUGUUCCAUAAGGUGAAAAUUCACACUAUUGACUGUCACGCCUGUACGCUUUGUCAAAAUUACACAAAAAUUGACACACACAUGUAUCUCAAUAAGAUCUACAAAAAAAGUCAGUGCGGGCGUAUCUGUCAAAUGUACGGUUAAAGGGUUAUUGCGCAUUUUUUGCCGAUCCGCACACAUUGGAAUUUCGCUAACUCCUCCGAAGGCUUUCGUUCAACCGGCACCACAUUUGCUCAGGCCAAUCUACACCCCAUGGCCAUUAAAAGUUAUUCAAAUCAUGACGCUGCACCCCACGGUUUAGGUUCUAGGGGGCGCCAAAGAUAACCCUAAAAUCCACAUAUUUAAAAGUCUUAUAACUUUUUAUUUUUGUCCUCUCUGGCCUCCAAGUUUUCUAGGAUGAUGCAAUGUCCAGCCAUCAACACAUUUGUGAAGGAAUUUUUACUCCCUAAAAGAGCGCCCCCCAUGGCAGGAGAAAAAAGUCCAUUUUUUCUUGUCCCAUAAGGUGAAAAUACACAUUGUUGACUGUCAUACCUGUAUGCUUUGUCAUAUUGACACAAAAUUUGACACACACAUGUAUCUCAAUAAGAUCUACGAAAAAGUCAAUGCGCGCGUAUCUGUAAAAUGUACGGUUAAAGGGCUAUUUUGCAUUUUUUGCCGAUUAGCACACAUUGGAAUGUGGCUAACUCCUCCUAAGGCUUUCGUCCCACUGACA